RNAcentral lists this long non-coding RNA (84424 nucleotides) under Gossypium raimondii (Peruvian cotton). RNAcentral's name for it is "long non-coding RNA (GRAI_LNC001182)". The record is from RNAcentral. Lineage: Eukaryota; Viridiplantae; Streptophyta; Magnoliopsida; Malvales; Malvaceae.
UUCAGCCAUCAUUACAGAAUGUUAUUCAGAUUGGUUCGCAGAUCCCAGGCAACCAAGAUGAACAUGCCCAUAACUUCAUGAAUCUACCUCCACAAGUUUCCUGGGAUUCCAGUUAUGCUGUUAGUUCUGGAUCCCCUCCUGUGCUUCUACCACAUGAGAUUGUCAGUAGUAUCAAUUGUCAGAAGAGCUGGGGGACUAAUGCACCAGAACUGGUUAAUGGCAUCCAGCCGCCUUUGCCAGUGACAACAAUUGUUGAAAGCUCACCCUCAUUGGAAGUGAACUUAUCCUCCCAGGAGGCUUCUCUCGUGCAAGAGCCUCUCGCUUCUGAAUGUCAUGCGCUUCCUAUGGAGCAGCCAUUGGAUUAUACUCCGAAGAUUGAUGAAAUUGCACCAGUUGUACCUACUGUGGAUGAUGCAACCUGUGGAACCUUGGAGCACCAUGAAAUUGCUACUGCUAGAACCUCUAAAACUGAUAUACCUAUUAACGAGGGUGUUCUAUCUACUGAUUCUAUUGAUGAACUGCCAGUUGGAAGGGACAAAGGCAAUGAUCAGCCUUCUGUGGUGAGAGAAGCUAAGAAUGUCGAAGCUCAUGAGGUAAGAAAAGCUUCAGAAAAGAAGUCUAGAAGGCAAAAAUCUAGUAAAUCACAAGCUUCGGACCUUGCAAAGGGACUUCCAAAGGCUUCCACUUUGGUGCAAUUGAAACCAUCUGAAACUGAAGAGCCAGUUGUUGGUGACUCUAAUACUGCUGGACAUAACAUUGAUGGGAUGUCUCAAGGAAAGACGGAAGAGAACAAAUCCAGAAACUCCCCCAUGGAUUCUUCUUAUGCUAAAAGCUUUUCAGCUGCUAACAUUGGUGUGUUGGAUGAUGAAACCAAAGAAACCAAGGGUGAGGCUAAACUUUCUAGUUCUCCAUUGCAGAACCCAGCUGCAGUACGUGCAUGGAAACCUGCUCCUGGUUUCAAGGCAAAGUCAUUACUGGAAAUCCAACAAGAAGAACAGAGGAAGGCUCAAACUGAAGUGGCAGUAUCAGAGUUGACUUCUUCUGUCAACUCUCUGAGUUUGUCAACUCCAUGGGCUGGGGUUGUCUCUAGUUUAGAACCCAAAGUUUCUAGAGUAAGUAAAAAAGAUGCAGAUAUUUCUGAGUCAGCUAUUGUGAAACCCGAAAGUUCUUUAAAUUCAGUGAGUAAAAAGAGUCCAUUACAUGAUCUGUUGGCAGAAGAAGUUUUAGCAAAAUCUAGGGAAAGAGAUGCAGAUGUUCCUGGCACUAUUUCUACAUCUUCUGCCCAUGUUACCACUACAAAUGUCGAACCCACUGAUAAUGACAAUUUUAUUGAGGCUAAAGAAACUAAAAGGAGUCGAAAAAAGUCUGCCAAAUCUAAGGGUACAGGAGCAAAAGUUUCCGGUCCUCCUAGUACUGCUGAUGCGGUUCUUGUUAGUGCAAGUACUAUUGAGAAAGUCAAAAGUUCUCGUCCAGCACAUGUGGAGAUGGAAUUAUUGCCUUCAAUUCCCUCGGGUCCUUCUUUGGGAGAUUUUGUACCUUGGAAAGAGGAGCAAGUAAACCCUUCCCCUGCUCCAGCUUGGUCUGCUGAUUCUAAGAAACUUCCUAAGCCCACAUCAUUGCGGGACAUCCAAAAGGAGCAGAAGAGGAAUUUCUCUGUCCAGCCCACAAAUCCAAUACCAACUCCUCAUAAGUCCCAACCAAGUCAGUCAACUCCUGCUGGUGUUUCAUCUCGGUCCUUCACUGCAUCUUCACCGUCAAAGACUGCAUCGCCGAUCCAGAUUAAUUCUCAUGCAACUCAGUCAAAACAUAAAGGAGAUGAUGACUUAUUCUGGGGUCCAAUUGAUCAGACAAAGCAAGAAACGAAGCAGUAUGUUUUCUUCCCCUAUGCACUCAUCCUGCUCUUAAGAAGAAAAUUAAUAAUAAAAGAAUUCAUACACACACUGUCAUGCACUUAUUUCUUUUACUCUUGUGAAGUAUUUUCUUCCUAGGGUGAGUUGGAAAUGGUGGGUCUUUGGUUAUUUUAGCUGCACUCUAGCCUGCAAAGAUAACAUACCUAAGCUUCCUAGUUGCAGCUAAGUAAUGUGGUUGGGAGUGGCUUUCGUCUCGUUAAAAUUAAAAUGAGAGUUUGAUUUCAAUUUAACAAUAAUUAUCCUAACUUUUGAAGUGCUUUUUACUAUUUUCAAUCCCAUCUAAAAUUCUAUUAAGUUAUACCUCCCUGUGAGCUGAGAGCAUUAGAAAAGUUUAUCCUCGCUGACUUGAUAUUUAAUGAGAUUCAUUUGUAAUCACUAUAUGGGUAUGUUAAUGUUAGUUAUAUUUUGUUGUAAACAGAGGUGAUUUCCCACUUCUUGCAAAUGUGGGCGGCUGGGGGACAAAAAGCACUCCUGCUAAAGGAACUGCAAGUGGGGCAUUAAGUCGGCAAAAGUCAAGUGGCAGAGCUAUUGAGCGCACUUUGUCAUCCUCUCCUGCCUCUGCUCAGUCAUUCCUUAAAGGCAAAAGUGAUAUGUUGACAAAGCAUUCUGGUAAGUCAUUUCAGGAUGAGUAAUCGGUCUUUGUAUGUGUUUUUUUUUUUUUUUUUGACUGCCUCAUAAAAAUUAGACAUAAUGAGAUUUAACUAUCAUGCAGAGGCCAUGGAUUUCAGAGAUUGGUGCGAGAGUGAAUGUGUUAGGCUUAUUGGGACAAAAGGUAUGGUAUUUUGCUUCGUUCUUCCAAAAUUAUCCUAUUUUAGGUGGAGAUGAUGUUUGUAUGUUCUUUUCUUUCGGGAAAGUACAGAUCACAAAAUUUUUUAUUUUGGCUCCUCUUUUCAAGUCUUAGAUGAUAUUCUUUCAAUUAUUGCUUGUCCCAACUCUCUGAAGCUGUAGUUGUAGUAUUGAUAGAUGCAAACCGGGUUGAAUAUUCAUUGAAUGUUGGCAUUUUAAUCUUGUGUCUUUUCUUCUUUUAUCCUUUUGCUAGAUACAAGUGUCUUGGAAUUUUGUUUGAAGCAAUCUAGAUCUGAGGCUGAGAUACUUCUGGUAGAGAACCUUGGAUCAUUUGAUCCAAAUCACGAGUUCAUUGAGAAAUUUCUCAACUAUAAGGAAUUGCUACCUGCUGAUGUGAUUGAGAUUGCUUUUCAAAGUCGACAUGACAGAAAGUUCUCAGAGUUGGGCAGCGGAUAUGUGAACUCCGGCAAUUCAAGUAUUGCUAAUUUUGAUGCAGAAGUUGGAGUUGGCCUAGAUGGUUCCUCUAAGGGGGGAGGCAAGAAGAAAGGGAAGAAAGGGAAGAAAGUUAGUCCAGCUGUUUUGGGAUUCAACGUAGUGAGCAACCGGAUUAUGAUGGGUGAGAUUCAGACAGUAGAAGAUUGAGAAAUCUGGACUUAUUUUUGAGAGAUCAUAACGGAUUUUUGAGACGUUGGGUCAGUUGUAAAUACAUUUGGGUUUUACUCUUUUGUAAAUUGUCCAGCUAGGGUUUUAUUUAUUCCAUUGUUAACUUUGUUAGAGAGCAGGAGGAAUUGAAACUGCUCAAGCGUUUUUGGAGGAAGUUCAAUUGCGGUGAAAGUCGUUUAUUUUUGUUAAGAGGUUUAUUUAUAAAAUAGCAACUUUGAUCUCCAAAAAAAGGUCGACUACGGUGAGCAGUUUUUCUAUGCGAUCCGUGUGAGCCAAACUCAUCCGAGUAACGGUAGCAAACAUUAUUUUACAUCUCCAAUCGUUUAGUUACUUACGUCUGACAGGAGGAGGUGGCAUCAUUUUAGUUCAUUGAGGGUUAAUGUGUAGUCCUCCAAAAAUACUUUGUACUUGAUUUGUUUUCUUUUAUUUAGAUGGUAUAUGAAUUUGUAUUUCGUUAAUUUGUUAAGAGUUAAUGUAUAGUUUGUUCCUUGUUAAAAAGUAAGAUGUUUUGUUUAACUCCUCCUUUGAAGUGGUCAAUAUAAUUUUUCUUUCUUUUAUUCUCAAAUUUCAUUUUUAAUAUUUUUAUAAAAAAAUACAACUAUUAAUUUGAGAUGGAAAAUUUAUAAAAAAUAUUCCAAAAACAAAUUUAUAUUCUUUUUCCUAUUUCUUUAAUUCAAUUUGGGAGAUAAUAAAACUGUUGACUAAAAGUUCUUUUUAAAUUGGAUCAAUGGUUAGAUCACUCAACUAUCGAUUUGAUUAGUCUAUCCGGUUUGAUUAAAUAAAUAUUAAAUAAUUUAUAAAAAAUAUUAAAAAAAUUGGUUCAACCAUCUGAUUCAACUGAUUUUUUGCUCGGUUUAAUCAAUCCUAUAUCAUUUCUUGAAUAAAUUGAUUUAAUGCCUUUCUCUGAAUUGAUAUCUUGAUCAAUUCUCGGUUUGAUUGACCAACCAACCUGGCCCGGUCCAAAUUACCAUGAUGAAGAAAAACAUAUUUAUUUAAAUAAAUUAAUCUGUUGGUUUUUUUUUAUCAUUAAUAAAUCUAUUGGUUUUUCACUAAAAAUAAAAGAAACUUAAAAUAAAAUUUUAUGUACUUCUUUUGUACUUUCAUCUAGAACCCAAGUUACAAAUGCGAGUUGGGUUAAAAUGGGAUUUGUCAACCCUAAGCCUACAACACAAUCGAGAAAAAGCGUAGAUGGGAAAGAAUGGGACAAAAUGGUAACCAUUUACAAAAUUGUAAGAAUUUUGAUCAAAUUUAUAACUUUAAAUCUGAUUGGUGAUCCAAUCUAUGAAGUUAGCGGUUUAAUCACUUCGAUUAGAAAAGUAAAAGAAAAACCAAUUUAACCGUUUUUUCAAUCAAUUUUUUUCUUGAUUCAAUUGGUUUGUACUGGUUCUUAAGUUAAUUAGUUCAAAACCUAUCUCUAGGUUAAUACCCUAUUUGAUUCUUAAUUCAACUGAUCGACCCGAUCCGAUUCAAACAACAUUACUUUAAAAUUAUAAAUUUCUAAUUUUUAUAAUUCAAAUAAUAAUUUUCUAACUUUUUCAACUCAAAUCCCAUUAUUAUUGUUGUGUUUUUAUUUAAACUUUUCAAAUUCGUCUAACAUGUUAGACAUUGAUUAAUUUUUGUCACUUUUUUGUUAAAUCAUUCAUAGAAGGAUGACAUGACAAAUAUUUAAUUGGUAUAAGAAUAAAUUUGGUCUUUAACAUUUACAUAUUUAGUCAAAUUAGUCUAAUUCUAUUUAAAGCUUAUAAAAAAUAAAAAAAAUAGAAAAUAAAAAAAUGAUAGAUUUUUUUAGAAAUAUAAUAAAUUAAAUAAAGAUAAAUUUAUUAAAAAAAUUCAAUUUUAUUUAAAAAUUAGAAAAUAAAAUAAAAACUAAAAAAAAAGGAAUGAAACAUUUAAGAAAUAAUUAUUGAAAAAUGAUUUUUGGUGCAAAUUCUCUGUCGUGUUCUAGAGAGUGCUAACCCUUCGGAGAAAUGUUCGUUGUAUACAAUCGUUAACUCUCCGUCUUCCACCCUAUCAACCGUCUUCUUUGCCUUUGGUGGUGAUGUUUUUCCUUUCUAUCAAUUUCGACGGUUUCUUGCAACUUCUACUCCCUUUGAUUCCUCUGAUCUCUUUUAAAUUUUGUUAUGGUUUAGCUAACGGUCAUAUCUUUGUUUAUAUUUCUGUUAAGGCUGUUAAAAAUAAUUAGUUAAAUGCUGCGUUUCUUUUAAGUGGUUUAGUGAUACGGUGAGUUUUUGUCUAGUCAAAACGGGUGCAUUUAGUCUAUUGCAGUAUAGCGGUUAUUGCUGUCAUUAUAUUGCUUGUAACCGAAAGGGAAAGGCAGGAAAGAAAUUUAAUUCUGUUUUCAGCUUCUUUUUUCUCUCAUUCUAGUUUCUCUCAGUUUUCUCUCUAGAAUUCCUCUCUUCUUCUCGUUUCUCUCUCCCUCUCAAAUCAUUCUUCAACAAAGGUAUCAGAGCUAUCGAUCCUCAUGACCAGCGAUGGAGUAACCACGCGAAUGCAGAAGGAACUCGGACAGAUCCAAGGUGAACUUUCUCACAUGUAAACGGAGUUUUCGCGGUUGGAUGCACGAAUUGAUGUUCGGUUGAAAGAUCUACAGGAAGGAAUCAAGUCGGAGGUACGUACAGAACUUCGUUCUGAGCUUCACUCUUUAUUUGAGCAAUAUUUUGGUCAUGAACCUCCAAUGGCAGUGGGCGGUGCGGUGAACAGUAAAAGUAAAGGGAUUUUGGGGUCACCACCUAGUUUCCCAUCUAAGGAACACCUAAUAGUAUCUCCGACGGCAGAUCUAGGCCAUUCAAGCAUGUCUUUACGUGGAGUGAUGGUGGAAGCUGAUCGUUCCACUUUUAGGAUGGAAUGCCCGUCAUUUGAUGGUGAAAACUUUUAAGGAUGGUGGUCCAAGCUUGAGCAGUACUUUGAAGCGGAGGGGAUUGGUGAUCAUGCAAAGGUUCGGCUAGUUAUGUUGCAUCUCGAAGGUAAGGCACUUGACUGGCACUAUUUUUUUGCUCGAAGGCAUGGGGGAUUACAUCAACUAUCUUGAGAGAUCUAUGCGAGGGGACUUAGGAAGCGUUUUGGGUCAGACUCUUUUCUCGAUCCUAUGGUAGAACUAGUGACCCUCAAACAGCUUGGUUCUGUUGACCAGUAUCAUGACGGUCUUCUAAGUUUGUUGAAUCAGUUGAACUUGUCUGAAACUUAUGUACUGAGCAUCUUCCUUAGCAAUCUCAAGCCUGAGAUAGGUCAAUAUCUUAGGUUUUUUAAACCUCAGUCACUAGUGGAGGGGUACAACCUAGCGAGACAGGUGGAGAAUAUUGUGUAUGGAACGGUCAAAAAAGAAAACAUGCUUAAUAGUGGGGUUAAUGUAGGAAGACCCUUAUUUCUUAUGGUUCGAAGUGUUAGAGGAAGCAGUAGUCUGAGUUCAGCAAGUGAAUCAACAGGUGGGAAGCCUAGUUCUAAAAUGCCUUCAAAGUCCUUAUCUCAGGUAGAACUGGAAGAUAGGAGGAAAAAUGGGCUUUGUUUUUGGUGCGGUCUUAAAUACUCUCCCGGCCAUAAAUGUUCAAAGUCUCAAAUGUACCAGUUAGUUGUGGAACCAUUAGAGGAUAGUGGCACAGACACAAGAAGUCCUACUCAUGAUGACUUUCAGGACAGUUCUGAGCAGUUGGAGUCAACAGAAUUAGGGUCAAGGAAUUCAACUCCUGUAUUGUCGUUACAUGCCUUACACGAAUCACAGGGUCACAACACCAUGUGGUUUCCAGCAGUUAUUGACCAAUUUGAAGUGGUAGCUUUAGUAUAUUCUGGUAGUACACAUAAUUUUAUUGAUUUCAAGGUAGCUAGAAGAUUGAAGCUGGUUAUAGAACCUGAGCCUAGUUUGAAAGUGCUGGUGGCAAAUGGGGUCAAAUUGAGCAUUCAGGGACUCUGUAGAGCUGUAGUAUGGGAGGCAUAGGGGUAUGAAUGUGUUACAGAUUUUUUGGUACUAUCAGUCAAAGGGUUUGAUUUGGUACUCGGUAUUCAAUGGUUGCUGUCCUUAGGGCCAAUUGUAUGGGAUUUUUCCAAUCUCACUAUGCAAUUCAAAUGUGGGAUCCAGAAUUACGUUUUGCGGGGUACUGUACCUGGUUCGAUGUAGAUUGUUCCUAGUGGUCAAUUCUCCAAGUGCAUGAGCUUGGUAGGUAAUGGACCCUGUCCGAUGUUGUUGGCUUCAUGUGAUCAGACUUUCCUCACAAUGCAAUCAACUCAGUCAUCACCUGAGUUGCAAAAACUUCUAGAUGAUUUUGAAGAUAUAUUUUAGGUGCCUACACAGCUACCUCCCCCUCGGUUACAUGAUCACAAGAUACCUUUGGUGGAUGAAUCCAAGGUGGUCAAAGUACGACCCUACAGGUAUCUAGCAGUUCAGAAGGCUGAAAUCGAAAAACUCAUUCAAGAAAUGUUGCAGGCUGGGAUUAUUCGGGACAGUAACAGCCCUUUUGCUUCCCCAGUAGUCAUGGUUAAGAAGAAGGAUGGGAGCUGACAUCUCUGUAUAGACUAUAGGUAGCUCAAUUAGCUGAUCGUCAAGGAUAGAUUCCCAAUUCCUAUUAUUGAGGAGUUUUUGGAUGAAUUGGGGCAAGCUCACUACUUUUCUAAGGUGGAUUUGCGUUCUGGUUAUCACCAGAUUCGAAUAUGUGAACAAGAUGUCUUUAAAACAGCCUUCAAAACUCAUGAGGUUCAUUACGAAUUCUUGGUCAUGCCAUUUGGCCUAACCAAUGCGUCCUCCAGCUUCCAGUCCUUGAUGAACUCGAUUUUUCGAUCCAUGUAGAGAAGAUUUGUGUUGGUGUUUUUUGAUGACAUCCUUGUGUAUUCGCAAGGGUGGUCUGAUCACUAGCGUCAUUUACAUGAAGUUUUUCAAGUAUUGCGAGCAAAUCAGCUCUUUUCCAAGAGGUCCAAGUUUACUUUUGGAGCCACACAUGUGGAAUAUUUGGGACAUGUCAUUUCUCAAGGCACUGCGAGUAUGGAUCGAGCUAAAAUAGCAAGUGUCCUAGAUUGGCCUUCUCCACGAUCGAUUAAAGAGUUGAGGGGAUUCCUCGGCCUAUCAGGGUAUUAUAGGCGGUUUAUACGAGGGUAUGGGUUAAUAGCCAAGCCUCUUACUAUACUGUUAAGACAGGGAGUUUUAUGGCAGUGGACAGCACAAGAACAAGUGGCCUUUGAGCAACUCAAGUCAGUAGUUUGUCAAGCUCCAGAGUUGAUUUUGCCCAAUUUCCAGGAGCGGUUCUGUGUGGAGACAGAAGCCAGUGGAUGGGGAGUAGGAGUAGUUCUUCAACAGAAUGGGAAGCCAGUAGCUUACUUUAGUAAACCAUUGGGAAUCAAAUACCAAGCUUUAUCUAUUUAUGACAAAGAGAUGAUGGCUGUGCUAUUGGCUGUUAAGAAGUGGCACUCUUACCUUGUGGGCAGGCAUUUUAUUAUUAAAACGGAUCAUCAAAGUCUGAAGUUUCUCUUUGAGCAACAAGCUAUCACACCUUGUCAACAGAAAUGGGUGGCUAAGAUGCUUAGCUAUGACUACUCAAUCAUGUAUCGCAAAGGGUCACAAAAUACUGUUGCGGAUGCAUUGUCCAGGAAACCCUCUUAGUCUAUUCAUCAGUUGUUUCACUGUGAAGCUACUGGUCUAAGAUAUGGGACCAGAUUCUAGGCUUAUAUGUGACAGAUCAGAAGCUUUCUCAACUAUGUGACCAGAUGCGUACUCAGCCACAUUUGCAUCCUAAAUAUUCGUGGCAUGGCACUUUUUUGCGCAAGAAGAACAAGGUGGUGGUAGGCAAGGAUAUUCCACUCCGAAAAUAGAUUUUUAGCAUCUUCUAUGAUACCUCUUUGGGCGGCCACUCCAGGGUCCAUGCUACGAGGCAUAGAAUCUCAACCUUGUUGUAUUGGAAGAGGCUGUCCAAGGACAUCAAGACUUGGGUAUGUGAAUGUGUUAUUUGUCAACGAUGUAAGGCAGACAACGCGGCUUUACCUGGACUCUUGCAACCAUUGCCAAUUCCUGAACGGGAUUGGCCAGACAUUAGUAUGGAUUUUAUUGAAAGAUUACCAAUUUCACAAGGGAAAUCAACUAUCUUUGUGGUAAUUGACAGUUUGACCAAGUACAGUAAUUUUUUGGCAUUAACGCACCCUUUCACUGCUAUCACAGUGGCUUAAAAGCACCUCAAUCACAUAUACAAGCUUCAUGGAAUUACUGAGUCCAUUGUCUUGAAUAGGGACAAAAUGUUUUUGAGUCAGUUUUGGCAGGAAUUGUUUAAGAAAAUGGGAACCAAGUUGAAGAAAUCGAUAGCCUACCAUCUCCAAACAGAUGGUCAAACUGAGAUUUUAAACAAAUGUUUGGAAGGUUACUUGAGAUGUAUGGUUGGGGAGAAACCUUCAUCAUGGACUUCUUGGCUUCCAUUGGCCGAAUGGUGGUAUAAUACUACCUAUCAUUUCGCUAUACAAACAACCCCUUAUGAAGCUCUUUAUGGACAGUCUCCUCCCCUACAUUUACCUUAUGUGGCGGGUGCAUCUCCAGUUGCUUCAGUUAAUCGCACCUUGCAGCAAAGAGAACUUAUGCGUAGGGCUCUCAAAUUUCAUCUUGCUAGAGCUCACGAUCGAAUGAUGCAAAUGGCGGAUAAAAGAAGGACUGAAAGAGAGUUCUAGAUUGGUGAUCUAGUAUACUUGAAGUUGCAGCCCUACCGCCAACAUUCCUUGUGCAAGUUCCGGAAUCAGAAGUUGGCACCUCGGUAUUUUAGACCUUUUUCUGUGGAAGCUCGGAUAGGACAGGUGGCGUACAGGCUGGCUUUACCACCAUCAGCUCGAAUUCAUCAUACUUUCCAUGUGUCCCAAUUAAAAAAACACAUUGGUUUAGCUGUGAGUGCUCCUACUUUACCACCAAUUGGUUCGGAUGAUGCCCUUCUUAAGUCACCAGUUCGGGUGUUGGAUCGGCCUUUGGUCAAACAGGGGAAUCAAGCUGCAGUGGAGGUAUUGGUCGAAUGGGCGGAUACUUUUCUUGAGGAUGCUUCGUGGGAAAAAUUGUUGGAUCUACAACGUCGGUUUCCCACAUUUGAUCCUUGAGGACAAGGAUCUUUUCGAGGGCGGGCAAUUGUUAUGGUUUAGCUAACGGUCAUAUCUUUAUUUAUAUUUCUGUUAAGGCUGUUAAAAAUAAUUUGUUAAACGCUGCAUUUCUUUUAAGUGGUUUAGUGAUAUGGUGAGUUUUUGUCUAGUCAAAACGGGUGCAUUUAGUCUAUUGCAGUAUAGUUGUUAUUGCUGUCAUUAUAUUGCUUGUAAUAGGUAGUGGAUGGCAUAAUGAUAAUAUGUGAUUUAUAUAUAUAAUAAAAGUUAAAAUAAUAAUAAUAUAUAAUAUAUGUUAUAAUAAAACAAAACAUUAAAACCCACCAUUUUAUGUUCAUCUUUUUUUUUUCACCGAAAGUAGAAAAGAAAAACAAGGUUUGAAAGCUUCAAAUAUUCGGCCAUUUUGAAGCUUAAUUCAAGGUUAGUUUUUGUUCAGUUUUUGAUAAUUUUUACGUUUUUGAGAUCGUUGCUUUGAAUACUUCAAAACCCAUGUCUUAAUUUUGUGAAUUGUUGAUGAUUUUGAGAAAUGUAAUUGAUGAAUUCUUGAGCUUUGUUAUAUUUGAUGAUGAAAUAUGAAAGAUAUGUGAAAGAUUAACAUGUUUUGUCUUUGAAUUUUUGAUGAAUUCGAGUAAUUAGGCUAAAUUGUAAAAAAAUAAAAUUUUGAAGGACUAAAUUGUGAAAUAAAUGAAAUUUUUGGGCUUGUAUGGGCACUAGGAAUAUUCGGUCAUUAAGGAGUGUAGUCAAAUUUUGUGUAUUUGGUGUUUUGAGCAAAAAGGGCUAAAUUGUGAAAAUGUGAAAUAUUAGGGGUAAAAAUGUAAUUUACCCAUUUAUGUGUUCUUAGACUAAAUUGAAUGAAAAUAUGUUUAAAUGAGAUUUAUUUGAAUACGUUUAGAUCAAGAAACCAAGAAAUCGGAUUUAGAUCGGGGGAAAUCGAAAAUAGUUGAGUAGCCGAUUUAUUAGUCGACGACAUACGAGGUACGUUAUUAAGCAUAUAUAUUCGUAUCGUUUUAAAUCAGCUUAGUAUUUACGUAAUUAUGCUGAAUUGAAUGAUAUAUAUAUACAUGUAGUGAUAAAAUUAUUGAAAUAAGAUGUAUUGAGUUGUAGACUUUCGACACUAAGUGCUCCUUUGGAUUGAAGUAAAACGGCAGUGAGGCACGUUUGAAAGGAAAAGGUGGUGCCAAACUCACUGCAUUUGUGUUUGGUUGAGGCUUUCAGUGCAGUGAGGUUGCUUUUCAACCACACUGAUCAGCUGAUUUUCAGCUGGAGCAAAUAACAGCAGUUAGAGGCAUUCAGUGCAGUUGACAUUAUAACAGACCAAAAUAGCCUUACUUUUAUUUAUUAUUUUACCAUUUUAUCCUUAGAAAUUAAGUUGAUUUCAUUCCCAAAAUGCAAAAAACCCUGCUCUUCAAUUGACAGUAACAAAACUCCACCGUAACAGCAGAGCAAACUCUCUCAAAGAAUUUAAUUAUAACUAUAAAAAAAUUAAAAAUAAUUAUCAUUUUAUCUAAUAAUUAAUUUAAAUUAAUUAUAUAAUUCAUUAAAAUAUUGGAAGAUACAUUUUAAUAUUUUAUUAAAUGAAUUUGCAUAUUUUAAUAAUUUUAAAAAAGUAAAAUAAUUUAAAUAACUUCUAUUAUAUAUCAAUUCUAAUCUGAUGUCCUUAAUAGUCAUUUUUCAUUCUCACCUCACCGCUACAGCUGCGUUUGAAUCCAAACACACACUCCACCAUUAUUUCUAAUCUCACCGCUACAGUACCCAAUCUCACCGCUACAGUAACUAAUCUCACCGCCACCGCUGUUUUUAACCUCACCGGAGGUAAACACACCGCCCAUCCAAACUAGCCCUAAGUGUGCGAGUUUAAUGGUAAAGCACUAAGUGUGCGAGUUUGAUUAUUAAACACUAAGUGUGCGAACUUAUUAAAUAUUUUCGAAUAACUAUUAGCAUUGAGUAUUUGUCUUAUUGAGAAAUCAUGAUUAGUAAAAUGAGUAAAUACUUGGGAUUCUUGAGUUGCCACUUUUGACAACUCAGAUAUCAAAUUCCCUGAUUUCAGGAAACUAGAAUUGAUAUAAGAGUACGAAGAACUAGGGUUACAAAAAGCAUAAACAAGUGUUGAAUAUAAAUGGAAUAUACAUGCUACAACAUUAUUAGCAUCACUUUCUUCUCGAGUACGCUACGUAUGCUCGCGCUGGAGCCCUAGCCUCAGAUUGUUGAAUUACUGACUCUGUCCCUCUUCUUUGACUACCUUCGAUAUAGAAGCACCAUGAGGAUUUCCCAAACCUUUAAUAGCAGAAGUGGACCUUUGAGUGGUAGAGGGAGAAUCAACAUCAUUCCUUAGACAAUCCCGAUCUUUUUCUAAUAUUCGACCUAUGUCUUUUUCCGCAAAGAUUACAACUCAGAACUUCAACAUCUCUUGUAGGGCCUUUAAUACUACCCCAAACACUGACAGUUGUUGAUCUCGGCCUCUCUCUGACCAGGCAGUCCUCGAAGUCGACCUCCAAGGUUCUCGAGACUCUCUAGCUUGCUUAGGAAAUGGAUACGAACUAGAAGUCCUUGCUCAUUUCCCGAAGGCUCGGGAGAGUUCAGUCAUCUUAUUAAGGCCAUAGCUUAAUCGACCAUCUUUGCCUGUUCAGUUAGGUAAGCAAGUUCUUUUAUUUUAUGCGAGACCAAUUGAACUUUAACCUUAUCAUACAAUCCCUGAAGGAAUUGCUUACAAAUUUACUCCUCCACCGACACUAAUUCCAAAGCGUAUUUGUUGAUCCAUAGAAAUUCACACUUGUAAUCGACUAUUGGUGUAACACCCUAAACUCGAUCCGAUGUAUCGAAGCCGGAUCUUAGGUAUUACCGCACCAAUACAAAUGUAAGCUUACCCUACUUACACAAAUUACAAUCGGUUACAACUUACUCAAUUACAAAACUUCAAACAAAAGUACAUAAGUACAUACAAUCAAGUGAAUACAAGUACAACUCAUGGUAAUUAAAUUGCAAAAAAACAUCUAGCUUGAAAUCCUAAUCUAUCAUAGAUAUUCUCGGGGUGUAAAUUUCUAUGCACUGGCUAAGGCUUUGAACACAUUGCCUAACUCGUUUUAUAUGCAUAAUAAACCGAUACGCCAGUCCUUAGCGUAGUCCUGACCUCGUUCCCCUAGGUACAGUCUCACAUUCAUCCUGAAAGAUAGGAAAUAACCAUGUAAGUUUGUAGGAACUUGGUGGGAAUAAUCAUUUAUACCUUAGUCGUUGUAUUCCAUAAAUAGGCAGAUGGUCCAUUACCACUAACUUUUCUUCUUUAAACUUUAUUUAUCUAUUAUCAUGAGAAUCACACCAUUUAUGAACAUGAUAAUUUCUUCUGUCCCAUAUAACAUGACAUGUAUCCUUUAUCAUAGUUUUAUCGAUGAUUUCAUCCCAUCGGACUUCCUUUUUAGAUCAUCUUGAUGAUGGGUUUUUUAACCAUAUUCUUCGUAAAUCAUCAUUUAGAGUUACUCUUUAUACUUGAUCAUUCUUUAACCAUAUUUUACUCUUGCUAUUUACAAGUAUAUGCCCUACUUUAAGUUAUUAGAUGUCGUCUUUACUCAGAUUUGUUCCUUAAACUCACUUGGCUCUUACUUAGUAUUCAUCAAACAACACAUUCUACUCAUACUUAUCUCGAUUUUAAAAGAAUCCAGGCAAGAUACACUAUUCCAUCUCGUACAGAGUCCGCCACAAAAGAAGAUCAUUAAAAAUAUCUCACCAUGGGUUUAAUAUGGUCUACCACAAGGGCAUUUCCUUUCAUAUUUUGCCAUGCAUACCGUUCCUUCAGAGUUCAUUAUGAAUACCAUUCUUUUGGACUUCGCCACAGAGGUGUUUCAUUCAGAUGAUUGCCACAAAGGCUAAUCUUUUUAUUUUUUGCCACAAAGGCUUUCUUUUCAUGGUUUGCCACCAAGGCUUUCUUUUUAUUGUUUACCCCAAAGACUUUUUUACUGACGUGUUUACAAUAUAAAUUUUCCUAAACUUACAUUAAGUGAGGUUUGCUCAUCAUUGUCUUCGGACACAUAAAAAGACUCCAUUGGGUAAUAACUGUCCUUUUAGUUCUUUUAAAAAUGCCAUGACCAUGGACUUUUCCUUUCAGAGAUUAUGUAUUGACACCAUUUAAGACUUCACAUUUUAAUCCAUCAACAACACUCAACCACCUCACAUCUCAUCACAUACAUUACAUUUAUGCUCAUACAAUCAUACUUCUUCAUAAAAAAUACUUGUAACGUGCUUGACUUAUCAUAUUCCAUAUAGACUACACAUGCAAGACCCAACAAACAUUCAUACAAUAGUAUAACCUUCUUACUAUACUUUUUUAAUUCGGUUUCUUAGUUCAUUCAAUUUUCAUAAAAAUAUCUAGCAUACACGAUAUAAAUGUAGGAGUCAAUUUAGGGACUUACCUGACAGCCACAAAUAACAGCUUGAACUCCAGAUCCAAUAAGAAACUGCAACUACCACUUGACAUGGAGUAACUAAUGACAGAGACCCAAAUCUAUCGCUUUAGCUUGAAGGAGAAAGAAACAUUGUAAGUUCUUUAAGAUUCAAGUAACAAUACUACUUGAGGAAUGAAGAAGAAAACUCUCAGUUUUCCAACCUUAGUAUCUAUAUAAAUAACCUAAGCCCUUAUUGGAACCUGAUACAUGUCUUAAACUUUCAAGAUUACCUUAAUAAAAUGGUUUAUAGCUGUAAAUGGAAAUUUAAUAUUUAAUAUUUUAUAUUUUUGGUCCAACUCUUCGUUCCAUCCUAACUACCUCGUUAGUACAAAACUAACUUGAUAAUCCAAUAAACUGGGUGAACAAUACAUUUGGCGAUAACCCAAUUCACCAAAAAAUCCUUAUUAUUCUUACCAACCUCUUCUUCUCUACAACUCAUCACAUUUAGAGAACAAUCUUUGCAAAAUACUAUAACGUCAACUACGCCCAACCGAUACGCCAAAAGCAUCAAUUGGGAGGAUAGCACCACGCCAUUCAGAUUACUUUUGGUUUACUCGCCAAAUUCAGGAUUCACCAAAAUAGGGUGUUAGAAUUGACAUAUCUAUUGGAUCUAAUGCCUUAAGUGUAAUAUUUUUGUCAAUAUACACUUGUAAUUUUUUAUCAAACAUAUUGGUUAAUAAAACAAAUUCAUAUAUUACAUUAACAUACUUUGUAUUAUUGUCCUCACAUGGUUUUUGCACGUAAAGAAAAAUAGAAGUAAAUAUUAGUCAUUGGUUGUCUAAAUGUUUACUUAAUACUAAACGAUAUUUCGUGGUCGGGUCAUAGUACAGAAAGACAACUUGUAUUAGUAGACAAACCUAAACAUGUUCUUAGUCCAAUCGAAAAUGAGCAAACCGAUUGCAAAACUACUAUUUCGUCUAUCAAGUCCAAUUAAGGAGAUGCCUUGUCUUGGACAUCAGAAAGGAUGACUCCUAGAAGAUAGAGAUAUAGAUGUGAUUGACUGGACUGACAGUACAUCGGAUAAGACCCAAGAAAAAUAGAUCCUGAAUUCAUUUAUGGAUUUAUUCACUUGUGUCAUUCAUAGUGUGACAUACCUAAAUCCUAAGUGGAUGACAGACUAUGUAUGCAUGACUUGUACACUUUGGUGUAACUAAAAGCAUGAGUUCAAAUAGAUAAAGAACUGAAAGCUGGUGUGUUGGGUGUACGGCUUCUGUAAUAUGUAUCAUCAUUCACAACAGUGAAAUUCAUAGCCCAAAAUAUGGGUAAAUGAUAUCCUCUCGUUGGCAUUACAUGGUUGACGAAAAGAAAAUGUGGCCACACGUCAUCUGUCUUUGUGAUGGAUGACUUGAUCACUAUUUGAUAGUGAUUGAAUUUUAAUGAAGGAAGAUGUAAUGAUCACCAUGAUAUAAAAUAGGAUCAUACUGGGAGAAAAGAUGUUAUCCCAAAGAGAUCAAGGAUAUCCUAUGAGGGUAACAGAUUUAUGGCAAGGUCAUUGGACGAGCACUUAGUAGUUGCAUUCAUAAUGGUAUAUCGUUGAAGAGAGCUCAGUCAUGAUACUAUAGUGGAAUAAUUUUGUGACUAAAUGAUUUUAUAAUUAAUAGGUGAAAAGCUAGAACUUAACUAUAAAUCAUUUGAGCCUCAACUACAUAUGUCUAAUCAGUCCCUCCGCUAGCUCGUUGAAACCAAAAAUGAAAGGAAUGAUAGAAAAAGAGAAAUUGGAAACAUUCAAGAAUGAUUAUGGUUUUCUCUAAAAUGGAUAAAUGAAAUCAUUUGGAAAUAAAUGUAAGUUUCCAAAAAUGGUAAUGAAAAUGAAAAUGGAAACUUGCAAUCCUAUAAAGGAUUACUUAAAAAUGACAGAAGAAUGAGUUUAUGUUUUUGGACUGCUUUGAAUCUCGAAAAUGAAAAUAAAUAUUUGGUCAUAGUGAACUUGUUUAGUUGUGACAUUGGACAAAUUUUCUCAAAAUUUUACUGGGGUAAAAUCGUCAAAAUUUUACCGGGUUAAAUUCGUCAAAAUUUUACCAGGUUAAAAUUGGGGUGAGAAAAUUAUUUAAUAUGUAGAUAUUAAAGUUUAUUUUGGGAAGUAGAAAAACUGAAUUAGGUUGGAUCAUAUUACAGAGUAUUGAGUUAAAAAGGCCCAGGAGAUACUCGUAAUUUGGACCCGAUGUGAGAGAGACCCAAAACCUGAUAUAACAUAAAGGGGGCAGCAACCCUAGUAGAAAUUCAAGGGUAAGUCAUUCACACCUCUCCUACUCUAAGUAGAAUGCUGUUUUUUUCUCUUUAAAAUAAACAUCUACAACUCUACAGUGGUUCUACCUUCUUUUUCUUUAAAUAAAUGGCAUCGAUAGAGCUAUUAAGACAAUUUUUGAGAGAUUGUUAUUCUGGCAAAAAAUAAAGAGAAUUUAUUUUCAACUUAUAAAUCUAGUUUUUAGAAUACCAAUUUUACUAGUUUCUAUUAUGAAGAGAGAAUUUUUGUUUUCACUUUAAAAGGAAAAUUUUUUCUAGUUCUGUGUUUUGAUUCAAUUGGUUCGAGCACACACUCGAACCAGUACAUGGUACGGGAAUAGUGGAGAAGAUCAUUUGGUUGAAAGUCAAAAAACAUCAAGGAUUCGCUUAUUUGAAAAUAUAAGUAUGAUUUCGGUUCAAGAUUUAUUACUAUAAAUAUCACAAACCGGGUUUAUUUUUAAAACUUUAAUUUUUCUUUAUGCAAGAAAAUCAUUUUCAAACCGGGUUUUUUCCAACAAUAUCGCUCUAUCUUAACAACAUAAACUCUUGCUUUCGAUCCUUUAGAUAUAAUUUUCCAAUUUUUUUGAAAUUCAGACUGAAAUAAAUCUUAAUUAAUCCAAUCAGUUGGUACGCGUCAGGUAACUCUCAGCCACCAUCGAUAUGCCUCCUCUUUCAGGAGGGAAACUGUGCACAUGACACAUUUGUGCGGAGAACACUUGAGCUAUUGCAAUACCCAAUCCGUCAAUUCAAGCUAAACUUCAACUGACGAGGGAUCAAUGCCUUUCAAUCCUUUAAACUCGAUGGCACCAUACUUCCUUAAUUCUUUUAUCAGAGCUCGUUGAACUAUGGACACUAGUGUAACUUGUGGAGUAGCUUUCGCCGCUCGCUAAAGGUAUUCUACUAUAAUGCAGAGCAUAUUUUCAUCUCCCUAACUUUCUGGUUGUGGUCUAGUAGCUCUAUCUGAUGAGAAUUGAUAGAUCAAUGUCAGGUGCCUCAAUCUUGAUUCUAUUCUCACUCACAACGAAGCGAUCGUUGUUAUAAAUAUUAUUACCAGCAUCAUUUAUCAAUUCCUCUGACAUAUUCAGCUGUAAAACUGAUGAAUUUUAUAAUCAUCCAAAUCUCAACUUAGAUUUAACUCGACUUGGUAUGUACCUCUAAAAUCAAUUUCGAGCUCGAUUUAGUCCGAAAAUCAACUAAAACUAUAACUUUGAUACCACUAAAUGUAACACCCCAUACUCGACCCGAUCACCGGGUCUAAAUUAUAGGAUGCCAGAUUCGUUACCUUAGCAACUAUGAUUAAUUGCAUUCAGUUUGUACCAUUGAACAUCCAUUUAUGAGUAUUAUAAACACAUGAUAAAAUAUACAAUCAUUUCUGGGUCUUAUACAAGCUUACAAAAGAUUUAAUGCUAACCUAAGGUCGAAUUAGAACCAAAUUGUAAAGAUUUCAAAGUAUCGGGUUGACGUCGUGACUUCGAGGGUUCUUCAUCGCAACGCAACUCACUAGCUAGGCUUGUCGUGAUAUUUAGAAUACGUCUUCGCAAUGUGAUUGAUUGUCUCCAAAUGGUCCAAUUUGGCACCUAUUCCAUUCACUUAUUUAUACAAUAUAUCCCUUCCAUUCAAUCAAUUAAACAAAAUACCAUAAUCGAUCAGCCCUUGGGGCUUAUUCUAACUCAUUUCAUAUACCAAAUAACCAAUUCAUGUUUUAUAAAGCUAUUAACUAGACACAAAAUCAGAACGGAUAUGCAGAUUCACCACCCCAGGUUUUCUGACAAUGACGACGUUAAAGAUGUAUAUGCUUUCGUCUCGGGUUGCCUGGCAACGAUGACGCUGAACAUGUACAUACUCUCACCCUGGGUUCCCCGACAAUGAUAUUUUCAUAAUCUAAUUAUUCUGUCACCCUGGGUUGCCCGACAAUAAUAACUUUAUAUGUACAAUCUACCUCCCCGGGUUUCUCGACAACGAUGGUUUCUAAUCAAUAUCCUGACCCUAUAGCAUGCUAACUAUAUCCAAAUCUGUUUGAACAACUAAUAUGGUAACCAAAUUACCAAUUUCAUUAGUUGAUUCAAUUCAUAUUCCAAAACUCUCAAUUCAUCAUAUUAUAUUCAACCACAAAUUCACAUUAAUUAUCAUAUAUCAAUUCAUUCAUGAAAUUUCUAUCCUAUUCAAUUUAGUCCUUAACUUGGUAUCCAAUCUCAAUCAUAACAAUUCAAUUCAAAUAACCAUUGACAAGUCACCUCAAUACCAUAUAAUUUCAAAUGUCAUGAAUAAGAAAUAACUUAAUUGAUCUAGAAUCAUAGAAAUACAAACUAGGUUUUUAAGUCACUCGUCAGCAAAUUUCAUUUUUCCUUUCCCUCUCAAAAGUUCCGCGUUGACAUUAGCAAAGUAUAAUCACAAAACAUAUAACACGUCAAUUUCCAUUCAAUUUCACAAUUAAAUACAAUAUCAAACAUAUUUUAUAAUUUAUUUAAUUUAGCCCUUAAACUUGGGACAUACAUAACUUUUGAUCUAAAGCUUCAGAUUAAAAUACGAUGUCACAUAUAUUCAUUGGGGACCCUGCUACUUUCUAUUCUUAUCGAAAUUUCAUAACAAUUUUAUAUUUUAUUCAAUUUUCCCCUAAUGUACAAAGCUAACAAUUAAGCUUUAGAAUUUAGUCUUUUUCAUAAACUGAGCUUAAUUUUUAUCAAUUUCACACCUAAUUCAUCCAAUUCUCAACAAUGGGAACUUAUUAAAACUUCAAAAAUUGAAAUAAUUCAUACAUGGGCUAGCUAAAUUAAGCUCCCAUGAUUCAAUUUCCAUCAAAAUUAAAGAAAAAUUGCUAGGGACUUACAUGAAAAUGGUGGUCAAAUGUUCAAACUAGGUUAAAGUUUGCUUCUUUUUUUCUUUCUAAUGGUUUCAUUGGCUUAAGGGAGGAAGAUGAAAACUUCACACUAAGUGUUUUCUUUAUAUACUAAUAUUAAUACUUAAUCAAUCUUAAUUAACCUUAAUUUAUUCUUUAAUUAAACUAUUUUUAAUUAAUAAAUUAACCUUAAACAAUUCAUCAUUUUCGGCCACCAGUUAUAUGAAAACAAUAGUUUAAUAACCAUUUUAGUCUUUGGGAUAAUUUCUAUCUAGAUCUCUAGUCAUUUCCUAAUUAAAAUCUAUAGUGAUUGGACUUUUACAAUUUAGCCCUUGGGCCUUAAUUAACCACAAUUUUGGCUAAAUUUCUUAAUCUAAUUUCAAUUCAUCUAUAUACUAACUCCGUAAAUAUCUUUAUUUAAUAUUUAUGGGGUCGAUUUACGAAAAAAAGGUCCAAAAAUAAUAUUUUUUAUACCACUAGAAACCGAGUCGUUACAGAUGCUAUCUUACUUACGAGAGAAUAUGUAUCAAAGAAGCCUAUGCCUUCUUUUUGCCUAAAGCCUUUGGCUACUAGCUUGGCUUUAAACUUAUCAACUGACUUAUCAGGCUUCAGUUUCUUUCUUAAUACUGACUUACACUUUAUUAGUUUAUAGCCUUAUGACAAGUGUACUAGCUUCUAGGUUUUGUUGGUUGUCGAAGAGUCCAUCUCAUCAUUAAUGGCUUCAUUCGAAAGGUUUGAAUCAAGAGAAUAUAAGAACUCAUCUAAAAAGUGAUAGGCUUCUUUCCAAAGGUCUAAAUCAAGAGAAGAUAAACAUGUGUAUAUCUUAAAAAACAUCAUUAAUAAAGGCUAAAAAUAUACUUUGUCCACCUUGUUCUAGAAAUCCCUCAAAUUCAAAAAUAUCAGCAUAAAUUAAUUCUAACAAUUCAGAAUUUCUUACCACACUUAUGAAGAGUUUUCUUGUGAACUUGUUCAUGCUACAUGAUACAAAAAUUUCAAAUUCAUGUGUUUCACAUAUAUGAUAUUUACAUUACACAAUCUAGCAUAGCACACAUUUACAAAAGAAAUUAUAUAAGCAGAAGUAAUUGAAAUUUCAUUCAUUUCCACAUUAUAUUAAACAUGCCUUCACAAGAAUAACCUUUCCUAACAAAUAUACCAUUUUCAUAAGAACAAAUUGACCUAAUUCAAAAACAAAAUAAAUCUAAGAUCAUGUUGGGGAUUGACUCGAUUAAACAACAAACAAGUAAAAAAUAAUGGAAGAAAUUAAGAAAUUAAACAUACAAAUUUAACGUGGAAAAACCCCUCCAAAGAGGAUAAAAAACCAUGGGCAAAGAUAAUUUUACUAUAAUGACAGAAAAACGAAGAGUACAAAAAUAUGGAGAUAAAAACUAAACCCCGAAACCUGAAAACAAAGAACCUUCAAAACGUAAACACAAAAUUCUCCAAAAGUUUUAUGAGUUUUAAUCUUUAAUGGGUGUAUUUUCUAAGUUGUAAAAAAGCCUAUUUAUAGGCUAAAUUCACAGGUUAAAUAAAAAAUAAUAAUCUAGACUAAUCAGAGUUUGACUGAAACAAAUAAACAGAGUUUAACUAGGAGAUUAUCGCUCAAAUUUGACUGAAAUAUGAGUCAUACUCAACAAAUCUCCACCUUGACUCAUAUUUCCACAAUGCCACCUUUGCCAAAACCUGCCACAGCCUUAUCUUGAACUAUGAAUGAAUUAACUAAGUCGAAUCUAUGAUUAGAAGCUAGAAGACUUCUAGCCUUGGACUUGUGCACUGUCAAAUCAAAACUAACCUAGGUCUGAUUUUCAAGAACACAGUGCCCUAACUUUUCAAACCUACAUCCAAAAGAGAACCUCUCUUCAAUGAAAUGGCCAUACAUUUUUCCCUCCUAUGACCAAGUUUCCUCCCCUCCAAACGAGUAGACUUUGACACCAUAACUAACGAGGGACGUCUAGUUUCAUCGGUCACUACAGAACCUUCCAAAAUAUAAAGACUGUCGGUCCUUUUACCUUUUAACAAAAUAAUAGCCUCACGAGACACCUUAAUAUCGGUCGACUCGAUGCUGAUUCUGCAACCGUUCAAGUCUAAAAUACUCAAGGAUAUGAGAUUUCUGACAUCUGAGAGUGUCCUAAUCAUCUCACCGUGCAUCCUAAUUUUAAUAGUACUAAUACAACUUACUGGAUGAAUCGUUUCCUAUGCGCACAACUCCACCUUCAACCGAACUGUAUGUAGAGAACCAUUCUCUAUUGGGACACAUGUGGAAAGAACAUCCCGAAUCUAGGAUCCACUCAGACGUAAGCUCAAAGCUAUCGCUCAUUGACACUAACAAGAAAUCAUCACCACUUUCGUCGGUCAAAUUAGCACCACCUACAUCUUUCUUAUUACUCUCAGUAGCCCUUUUAUUUCGCAGUUUAUAACAAUUUGCUUUGACGUGACCUAACUUCUUACAAUAGAAACACAUUUUGUCUCGCUUCUUUGAUACUACCAAAAUAGAAGCUUGCCUAUCUUCCUUACUAUCCGAGCCAAACUCAUUGUCAAGUUUAUCUUUACUCAAAAAAUGACCCUUCACAUUCUCAAACAAGAGUUUGUCUCUACCAUAAAUCGGGAUCUCCCUGAAAGACUUGUAUGAAGAGGGUAAAGAGCACAAUAAUAGCAUAGCGUAAUCUUCAUUGUCAAUCUUAACCUUAACAUUCUUUAAAUCAUUCAAAAGAGUAAUAAAUUGACUAAUAUGACCUCUAAGAAGCUUACCUUUGUUUAUGCAAAAUGUAAAUAGACGUUUCAACAAUAAAUGGUUAGCCAGAGACUUACUCGCAUAAAGAGUUUCUAACCUUUUUCACAAGGCGAAUGAGUUUUUAUCCAUCAAUACCUCUUGCAAUAACUUAGUCGCAAAGCACAGCUGGACUGUAGACAGGCCGUUUCAUCAAGCUCUUCCCAUUCUGUCUGAUCUAGACUCUCAGGCUUUUUCCCACUAACAACCUUUUUUAGGUUGGUCAGAAUUAGAAUUUUCAUCAUCCGAACUUGCCACAGAUUGAAAUUUGUGUCACCAUCGAACUACUUAAUGUCAAACCUUGUUGUUGCCAUAUCUGAACGAGCUGAUUUACGAAAAUUAAACUAGCCUUGAUACCACUUGUUGGGGAUUGACCCGAUUAAGCAACGAACAAGUAAAAAAUAGCAAAAGAAAUUGAGAAAUUGAACAUACAAAUUUAACGUCGAAAAGCUCCUCCAAAUAGGAUAAAAAACUAUGGGUAAAGAUAAUUUUACUAUAAUGGUAGAAAACGAAGAGUACAAAAAGAUGGAGAUAAAAACUAAACUCCGAAACCCAGAAACAAAGAACCCUCAAAACGUAAACACAAAAUUCUCAAAAAGUGUUAUGAGCUCUCAUCUUUAAGGAGUGUAUUUUCUAAGAUUGUAAAAUAGCCUAUUUAUAGGCUAAAUUUGUAGGUCAAAUAAUAAUAAAAUAAUCUAGACUAAUCAAAGUUCGAUUGAAACAAAUAAAUAGAGUUUAACUCGAAGUUUAUCUCUCAAAUUUGACUAAAAUAUGAGUCAUACUCAACACAUUAUUUAAGAGAAAAUAAGAAACUAAUUUUUUUUUAUCUCAAGAGCAUGCCAAACAUACUUAAGGGUAAACUUUUUACCAUAAGUGAAAUUAAGGUCAAUAUCACCAUAAGCUAGUGCAUGAGUGAUGUGUGAGUCACCAAGCGAUAUUUUCUUUUGCCUGAAAUAUAGAAUAUGUUUUAAACUAACUUCUACCCUAGAUGUUCCAAAGUCUACCCACCAUCCUUCGAAGGAAUCAAUAGUGUUGAUCCCGCAUAUCAUGGCCAUAAGUGUCUCUUCAGUUACAUUGAACUGAUUAGAAGGUCAUGUUUCCAGAAAUGACACACUCUUGUUAUAUGUCUACAUUUCCCACGUUAUCAUAUCUUUUAUUAUUUGGCGCUUAUUUUGAGAAAGGUGCUUGGUUUUUUUUCUUUGAUUAAAUUGACUAUUAAGUUGUUUUUUAUUAAUUUUAUUUUCUUAUUUUAAUUUUGUAUUACCAUAAGUCCUAAACAUAUUACCUUUAAAACUUAUACCAUUAAAGUUAAGUAUUAUCUUGAUUUCUAUGCUCUUCUUCCACUCUUAAAUGCAUGAAUAGAGAUUUAAUGAAUAAUCCUUUUUGCAUGUAGAAUAGUUGAAGUGUAAUUUAGUUUUAAAAUUUUUGGUAAAUAAGUUGGUUUAUAUUGAGAUUAAAUUUAAUUUCAUUGGAAUUGGAGGGAUUAAAAUAUAUUCUAAACCUUGGACAAAAUUAACUUUGGAUCUAUGUAUUGAAAUUGUUUAAAGUGAUGAUGAUAUUUUUGUACAAAACUUCACUUUGUUUAAUUUUGAUCCCUUUAAGGUUACGAGUUUUUAAGCCCAAUUUGAUUAUUUUUUUAAAAAAAUCUUUUAAAUUGAACUAGAAAUCAUUUUAAAAGCCUAAAUUAACAUUCUUUUUAAAAAAUCCAAAUCCAUUUGAAUGUUAAGACCAAAUUAACUUUAGGCCCAAUUUUCAACCACUCUCGGCCCAUUGUUUUUCUAAAUUUAUUAAACUGUUGCCCCGUUUUAAUUUGGUUAACCAUGAACUUACAUUUUUUCUCAAACCCUACCUAAUUUAAGAAUGAUAAUCUCGAGAAUAAUCCAUAUUUUAUUUUUUUAGAUUAGUUUUUUAAAUAUAAUACACAAGUGCACUAAAAACGCUAAAAUAAUUUUUUUAAAGUAUUUGUAUUAAAAAUAUUACCAUGAAUAGAAUAAUUUUUUAUUAUAUUAAAAACACAAAUAAAUAUAAUAAAUGUUUUAUUUUAUAAAUGUAAUUUUUAAAAUUUUAUAUUUUGGGUUGCGUUAUCUAGUAGGGUAAUUUUUUAUUUAUUUUGGGUAAUAGAUCUAAUCUUUAUUGCGUUAAUGAUUUAACAUAUAUAAUUAUUAUUUAAUAUAUAUAAUUAAUAUAAUUACUUUUUAUAACAUAAUAAAUUCAGGUCGGGCUUGGGAAAAAAUAUAUAGUCGAAGUCCGUCUCAAAAUUUUUUUCCAACCCUUCCAUUUUUUGAAAGGGCCAUCGAGCCUAGGCGGGUGACCAAACCCAUGGCCAGGUUUAGUCAGCGAUAGGAUACUAAAAACCUUUAAAAUACGAAAAAAGGAAAAAAACAUAAAAGAAAAUAAACAAAGAAUUGAAAACAAAAAGGUAGAUUCUUUCCUUCUUUACUCGGGUUAACUUUUACUUGUUCCUCGUUUUCGGCCAUUUGGCCAUUCCUUUUUUUUCAUGCAUGUGUGUAGAAUUAAACCAAAGGGAGCCCAAUUCCUUUCUGUAGACAUGAACAAUGGCGAUGAACCCCAACCUUCCCUCGUCCCUGAUUUUCCCGAACUUUUUAUUUUCUUUUUUUUACUCUUCUUUUUUCGAAUCUAAGAAGAACCAAACCCAAACGUAAUCUACAAAAAAAAUUUCUAAGAACACACAAAAUUAGAUCUAAGAGUUUUUUCUUUCAAAACUUUUUAUCAAAUUUGAAAAUACAUAUAGAAAAGAAAAGAUCCCAAAGUUUUUGAAGAAAAGAUAAUAAAACUUUUUUUUUGUUGGGCUACCAAGGCUUCAAGUAGAUAGGCUUCUCCAUAUGUUCCGUGAGUCGGGCCAAUUCAAGCGGGUCAAAUGAGCCCUAUUUAAUCUAUUAACUUCUAUGAUACAUUUAUUGCGCAAUAGUCACGGACUUUGAUCUGCAACCCAUGACAUUCCCCCCACCUAUUCUCACAACGCCCUCGUCGUGUCCUCGGAAUGACACUGGUUUGACUCAUCUCGAAAUGGUCUCAAUGCCUUCGUUAAUUCCCAACUAGUCUCUCUGUUGGGUAGUUCUGCUGCUUGGAACAUUUGCCUCAGUUUAUGUCUUUGUUGUUGCCUAACUCAAAUUGUAAUUAUCUCUUGUACAUAUCGAUUGUAAGAGGUCACUGCUCUUAUUUGCCCCUAUUGUGACUUGCCUCGAUCAGGAUCAUCUUGAUCCGCACAAAUAGGCUCCGACACACCAACAUAAAACACUGGGUUAACCUUGAGUAUUGCUUCUAACUCUAGUUUGUAAGCCCUUCGACUUACCCGCUUUAGAAAUCUGAAAGGACUCUUGUUUCUUUGCCAAGCCAACAUUAAGUCAAAAUGUAAAACAAUAGAUAAGUGUUCGAGAUAUAACUCGCUCAAAUAAUUUACCUUGUUUGAUUUCCCAGCUCACAUCACUACUUUUCCCAUAAAGUCUGAUGCACAACCCACCUCUCUCAUAGGUGGUAGCCCGCAGAUGACUCAACAUGUUUCAUAUUGAUAUUUUACCCAUCUAGCAUUUCUAAAGGGGUCUUUGUAUCACUCUGAUCUAUCAAGUCAAUAUUCCUACUACAUGGAACAUCCUUGGCUAUAUGGGUUGCCGACAGUAUCGUGGUUCCACCCCUCACAUCUCGACUUAUCGAUAAAAUACAUUGUUGUUGUCGUCCAGAAUCCAAGAUGCAUAAGUAAUUGAAAAAAGGAACCAACAAAGCAUUAAUCUUGUCAAGGAAGUUCAAGCCAAGCGCAAAAUUGUAAUCUUUUAAGUGAAUUACCUCAAUGUAACGCCCUAGAAUUUUUAUUUUUGUUUUUGGAAAGGUGUGACACAACUGUGUAUCUGUUUUAGUGGUUAAGUGUUCUGGUAGUGUGAGAGGUCCCAAGUUCAAGCCAGGACUUGGGCAAAUUCUGGUAUUUUUAUGAAUAAUAUCUUUGGUCAGUAGGCUUUUAAGUAAAAGUUGACAAAUAAUUAACAUAAUGGGCCUGCUGGUCUGGUGGAUAAGUGGAGUGUUGGUAUGAAGGAGGUCCUGUGUUCAAUUCUCUGUGAUGGCGUAGAAACAGUAUUUUUGCUCCAAUUUCGGCUAAGAGUUGUGUUAGGGCAAAAUUCUGAGUAGUUGUGUUUUAGUGGGUUUAUAGGGAGUGAUUUUAGAAGAUAAUGGGGGAGAGGUUAUCAGGAAAUAAUCUGAUUAUCUUUUUGUUGCAGAAAAAAAGUAGAGUUUCGGUUUUCUCUCCUAUACCCAAAUUUUUUUUGACAUUUUUUUCUUCUUUUUCCCUCCUCUGUCGAUUCUUUCCCCUAGUUGCUGCCAAAAUUUCCAUUAUUUUUCCCAUUUUAUUUCUUUCUUUAUUUUCCCAUUGAUUUGGUUGUUCAUAUUUUGUUGCGUGUGUUCGGUAAGUAACGGUUUUGUCUAUUGUUAAUCGUUCUUGGUUAAUCUCUGAAAGGGGAUUCCUUUUUGGUGUUUAGGAGUUAAUCAAGGGGCUGGUGGUUUUGAAUUGACGCUGUGAUUGUGCAAAGUCAUGGUUACUCAAGCGAGGUAAGGGUUUUGUUAGCUUUUUAGUCGAGUUCCUUCCAAUUGGAUGAUUAAAAAUGAAUUAAGUGAUUAAUCUGGAGAUUUGUUGGUCAACUUUUAGGUUCUAGAGGCUUAGGAGUGUUUAUGCAUCAGAAACAAUACCAGGUGUGUACCCGAAACACAGAAAAUGAGAUUUGGUGAAAAGUCGAAAUUGCUUGCUAUCGAGAAAUAAGAGAAAUAAGAGAAAAUGAUGCAAAAAAUUGUAGAGAAAGGAAAUAAGGGUGUUAUAAACUUGGAAAUCAACAUUCUGCACUAAAAUAGUUUUGGAUAGUAGUAGUAGUCUAAAUUUGAAAAAUCAUCAAAAAUAGUGGAAAUUGAGUUAGAGGUUGAAUAAAAUAUGAAAUUAAAUUUUAUUGUGUCUAGUUUUUCAUGGAAGAAACAAUGUAAGCAAUGAAAUUGUAAUUUGAGAUAUAAUGAAUUUUGUGAGACAAGGUCAGAAUGGGUUUGGGUUCCCCUAUUUUGACUUUGGAAAAAUCAUUGAAAAUUGUAAAAAAAUAAUUAGGGGCUUAAAUUUAUAUGUUUAAAUCCUUAACGAUUCUAUUUUCAAGAGAAACAAACAGAAACAUCAUCUGAAUUCUGUACUAAAAGAUAAAUAAUUUUUAGUAAGGAAAGUUUGAAGCUAUCAAACAGUAGAAUCGAGAUAGAUUUGAAGAUUUUACUGUACUUAGUUGAUAAACUCUAAAAUCUAAAAGUUUUAUGGUAGAAAUGUAUUUGAGUCCAGUUUCGAAAACAUCAAGCGGAUCUUAAUUUGGAAUUCUGUAGCUCAAAAUAUAAAUAAUUUAGGGACAAUGACUCAAGUAGACAAAUUUGAAUGAACAUAUAAGUAAAUAGUGAAAAUAUAUAUGAAUAUUUAGCUAGCAUGGGUUACAUUAAAAAUGGAUCACAUGGCCAAGGCUAAUUUGGGCUGAGUGGACCAUAUGGGCACACACGGGCGUGUAGGCCCAUUUUUACCAGAAUGUUUCUAAGGUUGCACGGGUCUCUCAAGUCGGCUGUGAACCUACUGUAAGGUUGGUAAGUGCUACUUAAACCGCUAAAUGUGUGAAAUUGACUGAAUGAUAUCUGUACUAAGCAUGUUAAUAUCUGAGUUGAAUAUAUGUACUGAAAUUGCAUAAUAGCAUAUCAUCAAUUGUAUGUUGCAUUGCAUUUGGUUGGGUUUGUUAUUCAGAGGAAGUGUACUGAAAGGCUUUAAGCCUAAUUUACUGGCAGUUCAGCUGAAAACUACUGUUUUGUGCCGCAUUCGGUACUAGUUGGAGUGUAGGGAUAGGUAGGUUGAUUAUAUCCCCACAUGGAGUGUAGGGUUGGAUGGAGAUGGUGUGUAGAGGCUGGAUGGGUAGGAUUUUGCUACUGCAUAACUAUUACUGCUACUGAUACUGUGAUGGGUAGGAUUUUACUAAAUAUUUAUUAUGCACUUGUGGGUUAAGUUUUCUAUCAUUCUUUCAAGUGUUUUAGCUUUGUGUGAGAGUGUUUAAUUGUUGAUUAUCUACCUUUUAGAGGUAUCAUCUCAUUCAUCAUUAUUUUCUCUCAUUUGUGAGGUGUUACUUAAGGUUUUGGAUAGAAUACCUUAAGGGGAAUUGAUUCUUUCUUACCUUUAAAAAGAUAGGAAUUUGUAAGGUUAAUCCUUGUCCUUAAAGGUUCAAAUCUAGUGGAUUUGGGAAAUCCUUAGUUGCGAAAGCUAAGGUAGUAGAGGUAGGCAAUUGAGGCCGAACCACUAUAAAUACUUGAGUCGUUUUAUUUUUUCCAUUUCCCAAAAAUGUUUUCAUACACCAAUUCACCCCCUCUUUGUGUAUUUCGAUCUCAAAAUUUUGUAUAAGAGCUAGAACUCUAGAGACGGUUUUACAACCAAUAAAAAAGAUUCUCAAGAUAUCCAAGAUGGAAGCCACAAGUUAAGAAAUUUACUUCAUGGCAUUGGAGCAAAAUUCUACCAUAUUGGGAGAAGGGCAUUCCACCAUGAGGCCUCAUUUAUUCAAUGGCAUCAACUACUCAUAUUGAAGAACAAGAAUGAAUCUAUUCAUCCAAGCUAAUGACUAUGAAGUUUGAAGGAUAAUUACAAAUGGGUCAUACUUUCCAAUAAAGAGAUCAAAUAUGUUAUUGUCCUAAAGAAAGAAAGUGAAUGGGAUGAUAAUGAUAUCAAGAAUGUGUAAUUAAAUGCGAAAUCCAUGCACACUCUAUUAUGUGCUCUUGGUCCAAAUGAGUACAAUAGAGUCUCCUUGUCUGACAAUACAAAAGAAAUAUGGGAUAAGCUUGAAGUCACCUAUGAAGGAAUAAGUAGAGUUAAGGAGUCCAAGAUAAGCCUUCUCACCCUUGAUUAUGAGUUGUUUAAGGCAAAAUCGGUAUAAGGAAUCAAGGAGAUGUCCAAUCACUUUACCCACAUUAUCAAUAGUCUCAAAGCCCUUAGAAAGAUCUAUCCCAACAAGGAAAUGGUGCAGAAGAUGUUGAAUAGUCUCCCAAAGUCUUGGGAACCUAAAGUGACUCCAAUAGAAGAAUCAAUCUCUCACUUGAUGAGCUCAUCGGUUCCUUGCUGAAAUAUAAAAUGAAGAUCAACCACAAUGUACAAGAAAUCAAAGAAGCUCCAAAGAAAGUAGGAGUUGCCUUCAAAUCAACAACUUGUGAGAAGGAUGAAGGCUCUAGUAAUGAGGAGGAGGAGGAGGAGAUGGCUAUGUUUGCAAAGAAAUUCAAAAAAGUAUGAAGUUCAACAAAGCCAAAAGAUUUCCAAUAAGAGACAUCAUCAAGGGUGAACCAAGCAAGAAGAAAAAGGACCUAAUCAUUUGCUAUGAGUGCAAAAAGUCGGGUCAUAUUAAAUUUGAUUGCCCACAAUUGAAGAAGAAAGGGGCAUUAAGACAAAAGAAGAAAGCCAUGAUGACAACUUGGAGCGAUAGCGAUUCAUCUGAUAAUGAUGAGGACAAUGAAGUUGACAGCCUAUGUCUUAUAGCUAUUGAAGAACCAAAGGUAAUCCUAAAUUCUAGUGAAUUAAAUGAAUAUUCAUUUGAAGAAUUAUAAUAUGCCUUUGAUGAAUUAGGUGUAGAUUUUGAGACUAUGAAAUCCAAAUAUAAGAAAAUGAUUUCAAAAUUAAAAGAGGAGCAUAAGUCUCUAAUGAUAACUAAGAGGAAAUAGAAAAGAAAUUUAAUGAUAUGCAAGCUCAAAUUGAUGAUUUUAUUUUAAAGAAUAACCUUUUCUAUGUUUCAUAUGGGGCAACAAAAACUAAAUGAUAUGCUUGAAUCUCAAAGAGUCUUCUUUGACUAGAGUGGCUUAGGUUUUGUAAAAUUACGAAAGAAAGCAAAUUUAAAUUUUUUUUUGAGAAACCAAGCUAUAUUUAUGAUGUCUUACUCUCAUGCACACAUUGUCACAAAAAGGGGUAUAAUAGACAAGUAUGUUCAAGAAGCUCACAUUUAGGAGCAAACUCACUAAAAGUGUGUGGAUUCCAAAAGAAUUAAGCAUAUAUCAAAAUGAGGAUGCUUUAAAGAAAUGGAUACCUAAGGGGAUAAAAAUUGUUAAGACUAAUUCUAAUGGACCCAAGAAAGUUUGGGUACCAAAAUCCAAAGUUUAACUUUGUGUUUGUAGGAGGAAGAGCAUUGCUUCAAGGCAAGCAACUCUAAGGAGAACACAUGGUACCCUUGAUAGUGGAUGCUCUAGACACAUGACCAGUGAAAAAAGCCGUUUCAUGGAACUAAUGCCAAAGAAUGGAGGAGAAGUUACAUUUGGAGAUAACUCCAAAAGGCUUAUUGAAGGUAUUGGUUCUAUAAGUAUAAAUUCUUCCACUCUCAUUAAAAAUGUGCUUUACGUCAAUGGUCUUAAGCAUUGUAAUGCCCUAGAAUUUGGGCCUAGAAGUAUUGGGCCUUGAGCAAGGGAACGAUUAGGAAACUUUGCAUAAAUGAAUGUCUACUUUAGUGGUUAAGUGAUUUAGGAGUGUUUGGAAGUGUCUGAGAAGUCUUGGGUUCAAACCUGAGCCUUAGCAAAAAUUUUAGUUUUAAGUGGAUAAAACCCUGGAUGUUUGGAUGUAGGCCUUUUAAAUUUUUGUGUUAAAAAAUGUCAUAAAGAAGCAUGUGGUCUAGUGGUUAUGGCGUCAUUAAGGUUACAAGGGAGCUUGGGUUCAAGUCUUGGGUCUUGCAAUUUAUUUUGGUUUUUCUUUUAAAUGAACCUGGACUUUGACCUUUAGACCUUUUAGUUAAUUGAAGACAAAAUGUGACACAAAAAAGCUUGUGACAAGGAGGCAAGUGGUGUGUUGAGCUAUUGAGGGGGGCUUGGGUUUGAAUCCCAUUGUAAGCAAAAAAAGGAUAUUUAUUUUGCUAGCAUGAGGCGAUAGGAGUUUGAGGUGGUUUCGAACUCAGUUGGGUGAGAGUUUGAAUGGGGGUCUUGGAGGUUGUUAUGGAGGAUAUCAAGGAGGGAUAUUUGGAGAGAUUUGAGAAAAGAAUAUUGGGAUUUGGGGAGGUUGUUGUGGAGAGUUAUAAAUCAUCCACAUCUCAUUUAUUUCUUGUUCUGAAUGGGGGAGAUCAGCGAGGCUUUCAAGGUAUUCGUCGCUUUCUCCAACCUGCAUUGCUUCCAUUCCUAACUGGUGGUGGUCAGGUGUGUAAACUCCCCACUGUAACUGUAGAACGGCAAAAGUCGAAAAGCUGAAAUACGGCGUUUGAGACUACACGAGCAUGCAAUCGCUCGUGUGGAAAGACGAACCUGUGAAUCAUGGGCAAUAAAUUGUAGAGGCCUCCAUGAGCAUUUUCAUGGGCUUAAGCCGUAAUGGGCCACGUUGGGCCGUGUGGCCUCAAUGGGCUUGUGGGCCCUACACAGAUGAAACCCACUAUUUGUGGCAAAUACUAGACUGGGCUAUGUAGAUCUCAUAGUCGUGGUGAAAUCUGGGCUGAACAGGCCACACAGGCGUGUGGACCCACUUGGGCCGAGUAAUGGGUCUUGGGCCCAUUUACACUGUUAUGACCAAUUAGGUUACUUGAGUCGCUUGAGGCGAUUGCGAACCUUUCGAGAGGUCGAUAUCUGGACCGUAAUGCCCCUGUAGGAUAAAAUGACCGUAAUGCCCUUGUAGGGUAAAAUGGUCGUAAUACCUCUGUAAGGUAAAAUGACCGUAAUACCCCUGUAGGGUAAAAUGACCGCAAUACCCGUGUAGGGUAAAAUAACCGUAAUGCCCCUAUAGGGUAAAAUGGCCGUAAUACCCCUGUAGGGUAAAAUGGUCGUAAUGCCCCUGUAGGGUAAAAUGACCGUACUGCCCCUGUAGGGUAAAAUAACCAGAAUACCCCUGUAGGGUAAAAUGACCAUAAUGCCCUGGUGGGUAAAUGACUAUUUUUUCCCCUCGAGGUCAAAUGAUUGUUUUGUCUAUGGUUAAAUGACUGAUUUAUCUGUGAUUUGAAUAACUGAUUCUGAGCAUGGCAUUCUGCAUACAUGACAUACUGUAUGGGGUUGGGAUACUGUUAUGGGGGAAAUAUUGUACUAGUGGCUCUGCCACAAUCACUGUUACUGGUGGCUUGGCUACAUAUACUAUUAUUGGCAGUUUUGCUGCAAUACUGUUGCUCGCAGCUUUGUUGAGAUGCUAUUGAUGGCUUUGUGCCGAUCAUAGUACCGUUACUGAUGGCUUUGUACUGAUCAUAUUACCGUUAUCGAUGGUUGUGUGCCGAUCAUUUCACUGUUACUAAUGGUUGUGUGCCAAUCAUAUCACUGCUACUGAUGGCUUUGUGUCGAUCAUGUUACCGUUACUGAUGGUUGUGUGCCGAUCAUAUCACUGCUACUGAUGGCUUUGUGCCAAUCACAUUACUAUACUUAUGGCUUGUAGCCAUUCUGUUUAUAGCUUAUAGCUAUCCUGUUUACAGCUCUUAGCCAUUCUGCUACUGGCAGCUCUGCUGCAUUAUUACUACUGGCAGCUAUGCUACGAUAUUGGUGUGAGGGUUGGGUGGGUCGACUCUGUCCCCACAUGGUGUGUUGGGUUGGUACGGGUGGUGUGUUGGCUGGAUUGGGAUGGGUUUGCAUACUUGCACCAUACUGAUAAUGUAUCGGGCUUAGGCCCACACUGUUUCUAUAUUGGCCUAAGGCCCACACUGUACUGUUACUAUUAAAGGGCUCUGGCAUAAACUAAUUCUGUUCUGUAUGCCACUAUUUGAUAAUGGAUUAGAUACUGAGUUUUCGUAAACUCACGCUCUCCUUUUAAUUGUGCAGGUAAUCCUUAGCCAUAGUUGAUUCGGUCCUGCGAGGGACUCGAAGGUGGCCACACAACCGCAUCAGCUUUCGUUUUUAGCUUUUGAUUUAUAAGUAACUGAAUUAGGGUAUUUUAUGUAAAAAAGCCUCUUUAAAGUUAUAAACUUUAAAUUGGGGUUUUUAUUUAUUUAGUUUGAUAUAAACUGAUAGUUGUAGAAUAAGACGGGUUUUCAAAGGGUAACCAUUUUCAAAGACACCACAUUUUCGCAAUAAAUGAGGUUUUGGAAAAUUUAUAAUGUUUUAAAAGUGAUUAGUUUUUAAUGAUGCACGCUCGGAAAUGAACAACCCGUUUUGGAAUCACCAUUUAAUAACAAAAUGAUUAAUUGAUUUUAAAGAUUUCAACAACAACAAGUUUUACGCUAAACACCUCAAUGUAACACCGCCAGAUUCAGCCAUAACUCCUAGGCGGUGUUUGGGGUGUUACAAGCAUAACCUCCUUAGCAUCAGUCAACUUUGUCACAAGGGAUUCAAAGUAAUAUUUGAGUCUAACGGGUGCAAAGUUGUAGAUAUUGUAAAUAAGAGGAUUCUUUUUGUAGGACAUAGAGUAGGUAAUAUUUUUAUGGUGCAUCUUGAUAACAUAUCUUCCUUGAAUAUUUGCUUUAUGGCUAAUAAUGAAAAUGUAUGUUGGCUAUGGCAUAGAAGAUUAGGACAUACAAGCAUGAGUGUUAUUUCAAAGCUUAUUAAAAAUGAACUUGUUGGCAUGCCUAACUUUCCUAUUGACUUUGAUAAAGUAUGUGUUAUGCAUGUGCUAAAGGUAAACAUAGGAUAGUAUAUUUUAAAUCUAAAAAUAUAGUUUCUACAUCUAGUAGUCCAACUUAUUCAUAUUGACCUUUUUGGACCCACUAGAACUAUAAGUUUAGGAGGUAAACAAUAUGGAUUUGUUAUUGUUGAUGAUUAUUCUAGAUAAAUGGGUUUCCUUCUUGUUUUCAAAAGAUGAAACUUUAGAAAAAUUUAUUACUUUUUGUAAAAUGAUUCAAAACCAAGUGGGAUAUUCAAUUUCAAGUGUAAGAAGUGAUCAUGGAAAAGAAUUGGAACCUUGGCUUUGAUAAUUUUUGUAAUGAACAUGGUAUUAGUCACAAUUUUUCGGCACCUAGAACCCCUCAAUAAAAUGGAGUUGCUGAGAGGGAAAAUAGGACCUAAAAGGAAAUGACUAGAACCAUGUUAUGUGAAAAUAAUUUGCCAAGAUAUUUUUAGGCGGAAGCCAUAAACACUUCUUGCUAUAUUAUAAAUAGAGCUAUGGUUAGUUUAAAGAAAACUCUUUAUGAACUUUUUAAAGGAAGAAAGCCUAACAUAAGCCACUUUCAUUCUUUUGGUUGCAAAUGUUUUGUUUUGAAUAAUGGAAAAGAAAAUUUAGGAAAAUUCAAUGCCAAAAGUGAUGAAGGUAUUUUUCUUGGAUAUUUCACAAAUUUUAAAUCUUAUAGAAUUUUUAACAGGAGAACCCUUGCUGUAAAAUAAUCUAUCUCUCCUUCUAGAAAGGACUCUAUUGAUUUUGAUGAUGUAUAAAUAUAUCAAGUUGAGCAAAAUCAAGCAUCACAUGAAGAUUAAGGAAUAAGUGAGUUGGUUCAAGAACUUAAAAUUAAUGAACUCCAAGAACCAACUCACGUUGAAAGAGAAUCUAGCCACCCAAGAGAGCUUUCUUAUGUUAAGGAUGGACACAUCAUUGGUGAUCCAUCUAAAGGGGUAAUUACUAGAUGUUCAAUUAGAAAUACUUGAAAUUAUUUUGCCUUCAUUUCGUUCAUAGAACCUAAAAACAUUGAUGUUGCUUUAAAUGAUGAAUUUUUUAUAAUGGCUAUGCAAGAAGAAUUAGAUUAAUUUAAAAGAAAUCAAGUAUGAAAUUUAGUUGAUAGACCUAGUAAUCACCCAACUAUAGGAACUAAAUGGGUCUUUAGAAAUAAAAUUGAUGAAAAUGGUAACAUUGUUAAUACAAAGCUAGAUCUGUUUCCAAAGGAUAUCGCCAAGAGGAAGGUAUAGACUAUGAUAAAACUUAUGCACUGGUAUCUAGGUUAGAAGCCAUUAGGAUGUUAUUAGAUUUUUCAUGUUCAAACAAUUUCAAACUUUUUCAAAUGGAUGUCAAAAGUGCAUUUUUAAAUGGUUUCAAAAAAGAAGUUUAUGUUGAACAAACUCCCGAUUUUGAAAAUCCAAAUUUUCCAAAUCAUGUUUUCAAAUUGUCCAAAGCUCUAUAUGGUUUGAAGUAAGCUCCUAAGCUUGGUAUGAAAGGCUUUCCAGAUUAUUAAUUGAAAAUAGCUUUAGAAGAGGCAAAGUAGACACCACCUUGUUCAUAAAAACUAAAGAUAAAGAAAUUUUAGUAGUACAAUUUUAUGUUGAUGAUAUUAUAUUUGGUGCUACUAAUGAACUUCUUUGUUAAGACUUUUCUAAUAUUAUGCAAGGUGAAUUUGAGAUGAGCAUGAUGGGUGAGCUCAACUUCUUUUUAGGGCUCCAAAUCAAGCAAACUAAAAAUGACAUCUUCAUCAAUCAAGCCAAAUACAUCAAGGAAAUGCUCAAGAAUUUUAAAAUGGAGGACUUGAAGCCUCAAUCAACACCUAUGAGCAUUUCAACAAAGCUUGAAAAACAUGCAAGAAGUAAAUGUGUCGACACUAAACUUUAUAGGUCUAUGAUAGGGUUAUUGCAUUAUCUUACCGCAAGUAGAUCAAAUAUAAUGUUUAGGGUUUGUUUAUGCUCUAGAUUUCAAACAUCUCCUAAGGAGUCACAUUUUCAAGCCAUUAAAAGAGUACCUUAAGGAUACUCCAAACCUAGGAAUUUGGUAUCAAAAGAUUCAUCAUUUUGGUUGCAUGCUUACUCCAAUGCGGAUGUUGGAGGAUGCAAGUUAGAUACAAAAAGAACUUCAAAAACAUGUCAAUUAUUAGGAGACAUGCUUGUUUCUUGCUUCUCUAAAAAAAAUAGUAUAGCUUUGUCCAUAACUGAAGUAGAAUAUGUUUCCGUAAGUAGCUAUUGUGCUCAAACUUUGGAUGAAGCAUCGAUUAGUUGACUAUGUAAUUGAUAUGGAUCACAUUCCUAUAAGGUGUGAUAACACUAGUGCUAUUUUAUUAACCAAAAAUCCCAUCCAACACUCUAGAACAAACCACAUAGAGAUAAGACACCAUUUCAUUAGAGAUCAUGUGCAAAGAUGAGACAUAGUUCUAGAGUUUGUAAAUACUUUGCAUCAACUAGUUGAUAUUUUUAAAAAGCCUUUAGAUAAGGAGAGUUAUUGGAUAAUUAGGGGAAAGUUAGGACUAAUGAACAUGCCUUCAUAAGCUUCAUUUAUAAUCUUUUUGACAUUCUUGGACACUUGUGUUGUUUUAUGCAUGCUUUAUGUACAUUAUUUGAUUAUACUUGUAAACUUGUAAAUUCAUUGUUUCUCUUUAUUCUCGCAUGUUUGAAAUGUUGUUAAUAUCUGAUAUAAUUAAGUUAGAUAGUAUUUUAAAUCAUAGAUUAAAAUUUGAAUAUGUUAGUAAAUGUAUUUUCCGCCUUUUGAUUGCUUUCAAGCAUGUUUUUACUUGAUUUUCUUGUAGAUAUUUGUUUGAACAUGGUAUUAUAUUAUUUUACAUAUGUUAUCUAUUUGGUUUUGUACCUUUUCCCAUGUAUUUUUUUCAUUUUCUGAUUAGUUGUUUCGACAGUACAUAGGGAUGUAUCGGUAGAAUUAUUCCUAAAUGGUAUUCUUAGGUUUAUGUUCACGAGAUAUCGGUAGAAGAAAACUUCUACCGGAACUUGUCGACUUCUAUCGGUAGAAGUGGACAAGUAUCAGUAGAUGCGGGCAUAUAUAUACCCCAGCAACAUUUUUUUAUAGUGUUGUCUUCUUCCUAAAGCCCCACCCCCCAUAUUCCAUUGUUUUUCCUUAUUUUCUUUUUUACUUAAUUUUGUCUCCCACGUGCCUUCCACUUUAUUUUCAACAAGAUUUCCACCAAAACUCUCCACAUUUCCCACGUUUUUAAGGCAAAGCCUAAAAUCUCUUUUUUUAUAUUUAUUUCAAAAUCAUACUAGCUUAGAAGACAAUUUUUUAUAAAUAUGCUGUUUCAAACUGAACAUAUAUAACUUUUAUAUAUAUACAUAUUUUUGUUACUGUACAUAUAUAUAAAUUGUUUUUAGAUAUAUAUGUAUCAAUUUUUUUUUUACUUUCGGUUUGCCCUUUUCUUUUUCAUAAUUCAUCACAUGCAUCAUUUUUUUUUUCAAAAUUGCAUCUGCUGCUAUUGGGGAUAUAAAUUGUUUGUCUUACCAUUUUUUUCAAAUCUCCCUUCCCAUUGAACUAAACCUUUUAGAAAAUAUGUAAAACCCCAAACCCAGCCUAGACGUUAUGGUCGAAUCUGGCAGUGUUACGAUAAAGGAUUUUAAAACACAUCUUUUAUGUUAAAACGAAUCGCGCUACAUGAUACCAAACAGAGUCCAUAUUUUCGGAAAAACUUGUUUAUAUUAUCUUAUUGAAAUCGUUAUAAUUUGUCCUUUAUAGUUACAAAAAAAUUUCGCAACGAAAGUUUGAAAAUCGCUUAAAUUGAAACCACACUCGUGUUUUAAAAGCACUUGUUCGCGUAAAAUCAAAAUUUUUGUCAAUCACAUGGUUUAAAAAUCAUAAACGCAACCAAACCAAAAAUCCAAAAUGAACAGUCCCAAAAAUUCCGGAGAGUCCAAAUAUUACAAAACUCUCUCGAAACCCAGAAAUUAAGUAAAACUAGUAAAUAAAGAUGAGAAAAACAAUAGUUUUCCGAUGAGUGGUCACCGUUGAGCCUCAGUCACACCGACCCGCCUAUGUCUAAGGAUUACCUGUACAAAAUAGACAAAAAAAUGUGAGUUUUUGUAAACUCAAUGUGUAACCCAAUAGAGAUAGAAAUACAAAUGUACACAAUAUUAUCAUAUGCAAAAUAGAUACAACUACGGACCUAAGUCCUUAGCAGAUACAGAUAUUAGACUCAGAUAUUCAAGACAAAUAUACAAAAUCCUACCCCCUCCUCUACCCAUCAUCCCAUCACACCAUCUGGGGUUAAAAGCACCCACCCAUCCCAACACAACAUAUAGUGUCGAUGCGACACAUAACAGAAUCAUAUGCAAUCAAGCAGCCAGAUAAUAGGCGAAGGGUCGUCGUACAAAUCACUUUGCCCCACAUAUACAAAUCCCACCCCAAACACAGAUACAGAAUACAAAUACAGAAAUAAUAGAAUUCACAUGUUUAACAUGCUUGUAUACAGAUAACAUACAUACUUAUACAGAAUAGUCAGACAUACAUAUCGAUUUCCUAUUUAGAUCAGACUAUCAUAAUAUCAUAUCACAUGUAAUGAAGUUUGGUUAGCCCUUACCGACCUUAAGAUAGGCCCAUAGUCGAUCAAAACGACUUGAGCGACCCUAGGGAAAAUUUCAAAAUUUUGGGCCCACAUGCCCAGAUUGGCCUUGCCCGUGUGGUGUCAACAAUCCUCUUUUUGGCUUUCGUCGAACCUCGAUUUCUCGUGUUAUCGUUACAAACCUAGUUUGGUCUUGAUGCUACUACAAUCUCGAGACCUCCAAACCCUAAGAAACAACAUUCCAACAAUAAAUUUAACAACCAAUUCACAAAUUCUCCAAACUAAACCGAACAAUACGCACACACUUACCACUAACUAGUACGACUGCACGUAUAACCAGGUCGUUGAAGCUAAAUUUGCUACUUCACCACCUUCACCUACUCAACAUAUUUACAGGAAAUUAAUUUCCCUAACCACACCACUAUGCCAAUCUAAAAGAAAAGGAAAACAAGCAAGAUGAAACGUGAAAGCUUACCAAAAUAGACGGGUAACCACCGGAAUAAAAAAUUGAACGAUUGAAACAAUCAGUUGUCGAACGAACUAGAGAGAAGAACUGAAAAUAGGAAAAAUCACAGAGAAGAAGGGGAAAAGGGAAGAACUAACGCCAGAAAGAAGAAAAAUUGAGUAAAGGGGAAAAACGAAAAAUAAAUAAAAUAAAAUUUAAACCCCACAAUAUCUCAACCCUUAUUAUCCCACUAACUAACCCACUAACUCACAACUACUUCAAAAUUUUACUUCCACAUCCUUUAUCUCAUAAUCGAAGCAAAAAUAUCACCCACACUCACGCAGGGAUUGAACAUAAGACCUCCAGCAAGUUAACUCCUUACCACUCGAACUAGCAAGCUCAUUCUAAUAUGAGCUUACAAACAAUCUUACAUAAGCCCACCCAACAAGGAUAAGGCUAGGAUCAAAAAUAAAAAAAAAAUCCAAAUGUGGGACUUGAACACCAUACCUCAUACACACACCCAGAAUACUUAACCACUAAAGCAAAUACAUAUUUGUUUUAAAUUCACAGAAACAAAGUUAAGAAAUUUAGGGCAUUACAACUUUACCACCCUAAAAGAAAUUUUAGCCUCAAAAUUUACCUGAUCUGAAUAGAUGAGGAUACUGUUGAAGCAUCGAGUCAUCAGGUUCCCACGUUGCUUCCUCAGUGUCAUGAUUCUGCCACAAAACCUUACCAACAGUAUGGACUUCCUCCUCAAAACCUUAAUAUCUCGAUCCAAAAUUUGAACAAACUCUUCCUCAAAAGUCAAGUUCGAUCUAACCUCGAUCUUCUAAACAGAGACAACGUGAUAUGGAUCAGAUUGAUACCGCCUCAACAUAGAGACGUGAAACACAUUAUAGAUACGGUUUAACUUUAGAGGUAGCUCUAACUGAUAAGAAAUCGGUCCCACACGCUUCAGAAUCCGAAACGGCCCAAUAAACCUAAGGCUUAACUUGCCUUUACGACUGAACCAAAGAAUUGUCUUCUACAGAGAUACCUUAAGGAAUACGAAAUCACCCACAAAGUACUCGAUAUCCCUCCUUUUCAGAUCCGCAUAAGACUUCUGUCUAUUAGAAGCUGCCUUCAGACAAUCUUGAAUCAGUCUAACCUUAUCUUAAGUCUCAGAAACCAACUCCAGACCCAAAACCCGUCGUUCACCCAUCUCAUUCCAACAUAGCGGAGUAUGACACUUACGACCAUAGAGAGCCUCGUAAGGUGCCAUCUGGAUACUAGACUGGAAACUAUUAUCGUAGGCGAACUCAGCUAAUGGCAGAAAAUCCUCCCAACUACCUCGUAAGACAAUCACACAGCACCGAAGCAUAUCUUCCAGUAUCUGAAUCACCUUCUCAGAUUGACCAUAGUUCUAAGGAUGGAACGCAGUACUGAAGUCCAAUCUUGAACCCAAAGCUUCAUAGAGUUUCUUCAAAAACCAAAAAGUGAAGCUAGGAUCCCUAUUAGAGAUUAUCGAAACUGGUACCCCAUGCAAUCUUACAAUCUCGGAGAUGUAGAGCUUCGCUAACUUUUGCAGAGAAUAGUCAGUCUUGACCAGAAUAAAAUAGGUGAACUUGGUUAAUCGAUCCACGAUGACUCACGCAGAAUCCUUCUUAGUGAGUGUUAAAAGAAACCCACUAACGAAGUCCAUUGUCACACAUUCCCAUUUCCACAAGAAAAUCUUAAUUGGUUGGAGUAAACCCGAAGGCAACUAGUGCUCAGCCUUAACCUGCUAGCAUGUCAGACAACAAGUAACAAAAUUUGUUACCUCUCAUUUCAAACUCGGCCACCAUUAUAGUUCACGGAGAUCCCGAUACAUCUUCCUACCAACGGGAUGCAUAGUAUUAGAACUACUAAAUGCCUCACUGAGAAUUGACUGCCUCAGAUCAGAAUCGUUCAGUACACAAACCCGUCCUCAGAAGCACAGAACUCCAUCCUUAUUAGGUCCAAAAUUAGAAGUACUACCACUAUCAACCUGACGAAACCACAGACCGAGAGACUCAUCCCCUAACAGCUUUUCUCGAAUCUGCCCAAUCCAAGUCGACUUAACUUGCAACUCGGUUAACAAACCCCGAUCAUCGAACAAACUAAGACGAACGAACAUCGCUCUUAAAUCAGUCAUCACUCUACGACUAAGAGCAUCGGCCACCAUAUUGGCCUUAACGGGAUGAUACUCUAUCGUGCCGUCAUAAUCAUUGAACAGCUCAACCCAUCGACGCUACCUAAGAUUCAACUUCUUUUGAGUAAGGAGGUACUUGAGGCUCUUGUGAUCGGUGUAGAUGAUACACCUCUCACCAUACAGGUAGUCCCUCUAGAUCUUUAACGCAAACACUAUGGCAGCUAAUUCAAGAUCAUGUGUCGGAUAAUUCCCCUCGUGUGACUUAAGCUGUCGGGACGAAUAAGCCACAACCUUACUAUCUUGCAUCAAUAUACAUCCCAAACCAACGUGCGACGCAUCACUAUACACCACAAACUCCUUAUCAGAUUCAGGUUGUAUCAGAACAGGAGCCUGAGUCAGAACAGACUUGAUCUUCUCAAAGCUCGAUUGUUGCGCAUCAGUCCAAACGAAAGCUUAGUCAGGAGAGCUACAAUCAACGAGAACCCCUCAACAAACCAUUGCUAAUAACCCGCAAGACCCAGGAAACUGUAGAUCUCAAAGACAUUCUUAGGCUGUUUCCAAUCAAGCACAGCCUCAAUCUUCUUAGGAUCCACUUGGAUCCCCUCAAGCAAAACCACGUACCCCGAAAACUUCACUUCUCUUAACUAAAAUUCACACCUGCUCAACUUAGAAUAGAGUUGUUUCUCUCGAAGCAUCUGAAAAAUUACUCCAAUAUGCUCAUCAUGCUCAUCCUCAGUCUUAGAGUACACCAGAAUAUCGUCGAUGAAGGCUACGACGUACUAAUCCAGAUACGGCUAAAAAACUCGGUUUAUCAGAUCCAUGAAUGCAGCCGGAGCAUUCGUCAAACCAAAGGGCAUAACUAGGAACUCGUAGUGCCCAUAACGAGUCUUAAAAAUUGUCUUAUGAAUAUCAGCUUCCUUAACCCUAAGCUGAUGAUAUCAAGAACAGAGAUCUAUUUUUAAAAAUACCGCAGCCCCACGAAACUGAUCAAACAGGUCAUCGAUCCUUGGAAGUGGGUACCUAUUCUUCACAGUCAACUUAUUCAGUUUCCAAUAGUCGAUGCACAUCCUCAUGGUACCAUCCUUUUUCUUUAUAAACAAAACCAGUGCCCCCCAUAGAGACACACUAGGAUAGAUGAAACUACGAUCCAGAAGCUCCUGAAGUUGAGCCUUAAGCUCUGUAAGCUCUUUCGGUGCCAUACGGUACAGAGCGAUAGACCCCGAAGUUGUACUCGGUAGAAGCUCAAUACCAAACUCAACUUUCUAAUUCAAAGGUAAACCUAAUAGCUCAUCAGAAAAUACAUUCAAAAAUUCUCUCACUGUUCUGAUAUCCCCGACAGAAGAGUCCCCAAAAAUUAAAACCCUGACGUAGGCCAAAUACGCCUCACACAAUUUUUGAACCAAUUUUUCGGCCACUAGAGCGGAGAUCACAUCAAAUAGAUUAUCUCGCCGCUCGCCAAUCACAACAACUUCCUUAUCAUCCUCAGUUUUCAAAACUACCCUCUUAGUCGUACAAUCCAAACUAACUCGGUGCUCUACUAACCAGUCCAUACCCAAAAUCUAAUCAAAUUCCCUAAACGGUAGCUCUAUCAGAUUUGUCGGCAACACAACUCCUUGUACUUCCAGUGGUACAUUUCUAUAAAGUCUAUAUAACCGAACAGAUUGUCCAAACGGGCUCAGCACCAAGAUCUCACCAGAAGGACAUUCAAUAGUAGUCUCUAAGUUUUCAGAAAUCGAACUAGUUACGCAGGAGUUUUUGGAUCCUAUGUCUAUUAAAGAAGUGUAUGGAGCAUCAAAAAUAAAGAACGUACCUGAUAUCACAUUACGAACAUCUCUGUCCUAGCAGCGUCAAGUAGCAUAAACCAGUACAAGUUGCCUCACCUCAGUCUAUUAGCACCUCUAACUGGUGCUCUCUAUCAUUGGCCCAUACCAUUACUACCCCUAGCUGAUCCAUGGCACCUAGAUGGUUGUUGUACUGCCCUCUAAAGCUGAACAAAACUCGUUCUCGUAGCUUGCAUCUGAUUAGUAUGAUGUGGAACAUCUCUAAUCCGAUGCUCUAAUGACACACAUUGCAGAUAAGCACCCAAUCUCCCGCAACACUUGCCCGGAUGGCCCCUACCACAAUUACUUUAUGGCUGAACUCCAGUAGGAGCAACUGGAACUCCCACUCUAGAAGGUCCAUCAGGUUUGGCCCGUUUCUUAGGCAUAUGAACAGAAUUAAAGAGCUCUGAAUCCCUCUUCUUCUUACCUCUCUCAUGAUCUCGGUUCUGGCACUCAAUGCGUUUAACCUCCUCAGUGAUCUUCGCCUUAUCCACUAGAACAGAAAACUCUCGCACCUUCUGUGGAGCUAUCAGAACCCUCAAAUUGUCCCUUAAGCCAUAUUCAAAGUGGACACACUUCUCAUACUCGAAUGCCACCAUGCCUGGAGCGUAGCGGCUCAGUUUUAGAAAUUCAGCCUCACACCCGGCUACAGUCUUAUCACCUCGUGUGAGAUUCAUUAACUCACGCCUACGAGCAUCAACAUAGCUCGCAUCCACAUACUUUCCCUGAAAGGUAGUCUUGAAGUAGUCCCAAUUCAAAUGAUCUGGUUGAGUACUCUCCUUAACCGAUAACCACCACUAAUAAGCAUCAUCGCGAAGCAGAGAAACUCCAAUUUUUAGUUUCUACUCAGGAGUGCUAUCGGUGUUCAUUAUCCUCUCAGUAGCCUCCAACUAGUACUCGACCGCAGUAAAGGUAACUCGAAUGACGCUCCUAAACAACUCAGCCCCAUUGGACUAGAUUCGUUCAGUUACUGACCCACGGCUCUCAGAUCCAGAAUAGGGUCCAGCGACCCUCUCUAAAACUCUCAACAUGGCUUGGGACAGUGCGUCGUCCCCAGCUGAGUGGCUUUGAGACCCAGUCUCAGUAGCAGGUGAAACUAGUGUCUCACUCGUAUCCAGAUUUGGCAUACUGCCCAGAAAGGAAGACUCAUCCCGAGUCUUCCUAUGGCACCCGCCGCGCCUACGAGUACUUCGACCAUGUGUACCACAUGCGCUCAUCAUAGUUUCAGUUUUAGCUACAUUAUAAAAUUUUAUGCAUCAGUUUCAGUGUUUAUUAGCAGAUGUUUUAUGCUUCAAAUAUCAGAAUUUCAGAAAUAUUUCAGAAAUUUUAGUCUCUAACUAACUCAGUACAGUUUUAGAGAAUUCUAUCUACAGUAUUUUCUAAUUCCAGAAAUACUUACAGGAUCGGGGCGGGAGACUCGGUGUACCACAUACUUGCUCAAAAAGAUCCAAAUUAUUUGAAAAUCAGUCCUUUUCAAAAUAUAAUUUCGGAACCCAAAAUUCACAGUUCGAGUUUUGCAACCUUGUAACACCCCUUACCCGAGACCGUAGCCGGAGUCAAGCUCGAGGCAUUACUUAACUUAUUAGUUCGGGGCAUAAAAAUUUGCUUUUAAAAUUUAUCUCACUAUUUAUGAUAAAGAUGUCCACUCGAAAUUUAAAUCCAUAAAUUUUCCCUGAAACUAGACUCAUAUAUCUUCUUACCAUAAAUUUUUCAGAAUUUUUGGUUCAGCCAAUUAGUACAGUUUAUCAGUUAAAGUCUCCCCUGUUUCACCACUCAACUGUCCUAACCUCUGGCCACUCAAAACAAGUUUUCUCAUUGUAUGAUUUUCAUAUGAUAUUAUCACUUGUUCAUACAGAAAAUAGACUCGAUAAGGAAACUAUACAUAUAAAUUAAAACUCAUAACUAUUUUUGUAAAAUUUUUAGUGAUUUUCUAAACUCAAAACAGGGGACUCCAAAAAUAGUUCUGACUCUAUCUCAUCAAAAUUCACAUAUCUCAAAAUAUAAAAUUUCUUUUACUAAACCGUUAUUUUUCCAUGAAAAUAGACUUAACAAGCUUUCAUUAUAUAUAUCAUACACCCUCUAAUUCAUUUUAUACUAUCCUAAGUGAUUUUUCAAAAUCACGUCACUGCUUCUGUUUGAAAUCUGUUUCUUUGCAAAUUAUUACUCUUUCAUGAUUUCUAUGCAUAAUUUAUCACAUAGACAUGUAUAAAAACAAACACCUUCAUACUUAGCCAUUUUGACAACCAUUCAUCAUUAGAUAUUUACACAUCAUUCUUUAGCAAAAUCAUAAUACAACAUUCAAAAUAAGUAAGUCCCUAUACAUGCCAUAGUUCAAACAUAGUUCAUCAUAAAAUAUCGAGUCAUUGUGGUUGAUAGUGUGGACGAUCUCCGACAUCUUUAGGAUCCUCGACUUUGAUUAAUAAUGCUAUAUAAAAAGAAAAUAAACAAAGUAAGCAUAAUGCUUAGUAAGUUUACAAGUAAAUAAAUAGCAACAUUAAACACAAAUUAUAAUAACCAAGUAACAUAAUCUUUAAUUUCCUCUUUACUUGAUCUCUUACUCAUUCACUUGCUUGUUUACUUAAAUAACUCAUAAUUAUGACUUACUUUUCUCUUGUUGAAAUGUUGAUUCUCAAUGGGUAACGUAAUAUACUCUUAACUCUUAUAACUCACUUGAACUUGCCAUUUACGCUUUUAACUGAACUUUCAUGGACAUAAGUUAUUUACUAGCCCGUUGAACCACAUUGGAAUAAUAACGAUACUUGGGUCUCUUUCUGAUAAUAACAUGCCAAAGCCAUGUCCCAUACAUGGUCUUACAUGGGAUGUUUCAUGUAUUGCCAAUGCCAUAUCCCAGAUAUGGUCUUACAUGGGACCUCUCAUCUCGGUGCCAACGCCAUGUCCCAGACAUGGUCUUACAUAGGACCUCUCAUCUCAGUGCCAACGCCAUGUCCCAAACAUGGUCUUACAUGGGACCUCAUCCUCUUAAUGUCAUGACAUUUGUAUCCGCUACAUUCCAAAAUUUUCAACGGGACUUUUUAAUACUAAUUCUCUAUCGUCUCAUACUUGAGUCAACAUCAAAUAAAUUCAUGAAAUAAAUAUAUAAUUGCUGGAAAAUAACAGAAUUAAUAAUAAUUAUUUAAAUAUUUCAUUUAUUUACCGUAAACUUACCUCGGUAGCAAAUAUAGCCAAACUUAUCAAUUUAGUCUUCAACUUUAUUCUUUCCUCAAUCUAACCUCGAAUUUCGUUCUUCUUGAUCUAUACAGAAAAAUUAACUUAUUUAAUAAUCACAUUCAUUAAAACAGCCCUCGACUCUAACUUUGGAAAAAUUACAAUUUUGCUCCUAAACUUUUACAUAAUUACGUUUUUACCCCAAAGUUUAGAAAUUAAACUUCAUCUCAUAUUCUUAUGUUAUAUAACAUGCUAAAAAUUUUUCUCUUCUAUGACAACAUCAAAUUCUCACUCUAACACUUACUUAUGCACAUUAAGGAUUUUUUCUGAUUAUGUCAACUUACUCGUUUUCGCUUAAAAUUGGCUAGCAAAAAGUUGUUUAACAUAAUUUCUAGCUUCAUACUCUAUCAUAAAACAUCAAAAUAAACACUUUUCACCUAUCGGUAUUUUUUCAAAUAUAAACUCUAGGUUAAAUUAUUGCUAGAAUAAGCUAAAUUAAGCUACUGGGAUCUCAAAAACGUAAAAAGCAUAAAAAAACGGGGCUUAGAAUCACUUACUAUGAGCUUGACAAAGUGUGAAAACCCUAGCUAUGGUGUCUUUCCAAAUUUGGCAGCAAUCUAUGGAGAAGAUGAUAUUUUUGCCAUCUUUUUCCUUUUUUAUUCUUUUUAUUAUUCAUUUACUAAAAUACCCUUCAUUAAAACUUUAGUUAUUUUUAUCUAUACAUGCCUAUUUUUGUCCAUGGAAAUUUUAUGGUCUAAUUACUAUUUAAGGCCCUCUACUUUGAUUAUGCACUUCAAAUAAAUCCUUUAUCAUCUAAAACUCCUAUUUACCUACUUUUGCACUUAAGUCCUAAUAGGCAAUUUAGGCAUGCAAUCAAUAAAAUUUCUUAUCAAUACUCUAAUACUUAUAUCUAAUCACUCGAUAAAUCAUAAAAAUUAAUAAUAAUUUUCUCUUUAAAUCGAAUUUGUGGUUACGAAACCACUAUUUCGAUGACCUUGAAUUUGGGUCAUUACCAACUUGGCUCUGAUACCACUAAAUGUAACACCCCAAAUCUAGCCUAGACGUUAUGGUCGAAUCUAGGAGUGUUACAAUGAAGGAUUUUAAAACACAUCUUUUAUGUUAAAACGAAUCGCGUUAUUUAAAACCAAACAAAGUUAAUAUUUUUGAAAAAACUUGUUUUUAUUAUCUUACUAAAAUCGUUAUAAGUUUUCCGUUAUAGUUACAAAAAAAAUUUGAAGCGAAAGUUUGAAAAUUGUUCAAAUUGAAACAACGCUCGUAUUUUAAAAGUAUUUGUUAUCGUAAAACUGGAAUUUUUGUCAAUCACAUGGUUUAAAAAUCAUAAACUCAACCAAACCAAAUAUCAAAAAUGAACAGUCCCAAAAAGUCCGGGGAGUCCAAAUAUUACAAAACUCUCACGAAACCUGAAAAUUAAGUAAAAUUGGUAAAUAAAGAUAAGAAAAACAACAGUUUUUCAAUGAGUGGUCACCGCUAAGCCUCCGUCGCACCGACCCGACUAUGUCUGAGGAUUACAUGUACAGAAUAGACUAAUAGAUGUGAGUUUUCGUAAACUUAGUGUGUAACCCAACAAAGAUAGACAUACAAAUGUACACAGUAUUAUCAUAUGCAGAACAGAUACAAAUACAGACCUAAGUCCUUACCAGAUACAGAUAUCAGACUCAGAUAUUCAAGACAGAUAUACAAAAUCCUACCCCCAUCAUCUACACACCAUCUCCGACCAUCCCAUCACACCAUGUGAGGUUAAAAGCACCCACUCAUCCCUACACACCAUAUAGUGUCGAUGUGACACAUAACAAAAUAAUAUGCAGUCAAGCUGCCAGAUAAUAGGCGAAAGGUCACCGUACAAAUCACUUCCUCCACAUAUACAAAUCCCACCCCAAACACAGAUACAGAAUACAAAUAUAGAAUUAACAGAAUUAACAUGUUUAACAUGCUCGUAUACAGAUAACAUACAUACUUAUACAGAACAGUCAGACAUAUAUCGAUUUCCUACUUAGAUCAGAUUAUCAGAAUAUCAGAUCACAUAUAAUAAGGUUGGGUUAGCCCUUACCGACCCUACGAUAGGCCCAUAGUUGAUUGGAACGACUCCUGCGACCUUAGGGAAAAUUUCAGAAUUUGGGGCCCACAUGCCCGUGUGGUGUCGAAAGUCCCCUUUUCGGCUUUCACUGAACCUCAAUUUCUUGUGUUAUUGUUACACACCUGGUUUGGUUUCGAUGCUACUGUAAUCUCGAGACCUCUAAACCCUAAGAAACAACAUUCCAACAAUAAAUUUAACAACCAAUUCACAAAUUGCCUAAACUAAAUCGAACAAUGCGAAAACACUUAUCGCCAACUAAUAUGACUCCACGCACAUUCAGGCCGUUGGAGCAAAAUUCGCUGCUUCACCACAUUCACCUACGCAACAGAUUUGCAAGAAAUUAACUUCCCUAACCACACCACUAUGCCAAUAUAAAAAAAGAGGAAAACGACAAAGAUGAAACGUCAAAGCUUACCAAAAUAGACGAGGAACCAUUGGAAUAACAAAUCGAACAAUUAGAACAAUCAGUUGUUAAACGGAGUAGAGAGAAUAACCAAAAAUAGGAAAAAUCACAAAGAAGAAGGGGAAAAUGGAAAAACUAACGUCAAAAAGAUGAAAAACUAAGUAAAGGGGAAAAAAGCUAAAAAUAAACAAAAUAGAAUUUAAACCCCACAAUAUCUCAACCCCCAUUAUCCCACUAACUAAACCACUAACUCACAACUAUUUCAAAAUUUUACUUCCACACAACCUCUAUCUCAUAACCGAAGCAAAAUAUCACCCACACUCACGCAGGGAUUUGAACACAAGACCUCCAGCAAGUUAACUCCUAAUCACUCGAACCAGCAGGCUCAUUCUGAUAUGAGUUUACAAAUAGUCUUAUAUAAACCUACCCAACAAGGAUAACGCUAGGAUAAAAAAUAACAAAAAUUUUCAAAUGUGGGACUUGAACUCCAGACCUCAUACACACACCCAGAAUACUUAACCACUAAAGCAAAAACAUAUUUGUUUCAGAAUUCUCAGAAACAAAGUUAAGAAAUUUAGGGCGUUACAAAAUAUCAUUCAUUUCAAAUACCUUGACCAACUCUGCGAUUGGGGUUGGCUUAAAAGCCUCCAAAUUAAGGGUUCUUGCUAUGACAACAUUGUUCGGGCGUUUUAAUCUAACACCAAACUUAACCAUGACCUGAACACCCACCUAAUUCAAUCAAUUACUUCUUCCAUCAUAGGCCAAGAUAUUACUAUCUCAAUCAAAUCCCUCUCUACUUUUCCUUCUAUCACCAAUAAGAGUGAUGAACAUCAUACCAGCCCAUACGAUACUUCCUAAACUAGGCCCAAUGAUUAUGUAGGCAACGACAUGGACCUUCAUAAUCGUAUCCUCUAUCUUAUAUUCACUUGGUUCGUUGCGUCAACCAAUAAACAUUUCGGCUUUCGCCACACCGAUUAUUGGAUGUGGCAUUGCUUUAGAACCAACCAUCCCCUCAACUUAGCCUCCAUUAUUUUUCUAAACCUUAUCGAGAUUUUUAGGCUAUUACUAUCUAGCAAUAAAACCUUAUGUUACAGUAUGUUCCUCUCUCAUAUCCUUCGUACUCUUAGAAUAAACAUAAGUAUAGACCCCGGUCGUGCCAUAAACUCUUUUGUCGAUAUCUCGACAGCGACUAGUUGCAAUUGGAAGCUUGAUGGAAAGGGAAAUCGGGUCUGCAAGUUUGAUCAGUAAUCCUCGGUGGCUCAACCUUUGACGGUUCGACCAGUCGCUUCACAAACAUUCGAUGCUCCUAGGUCUCCGCUUGAGGCUUAUCCAGCUCUCCUCGCUCCGCCAUCCCCAUGCACAACACGUUUGUUCGAGGCGAUUAAUGGGCUGUUGUUGCAAUUCAGUGCAUGUUUUAAUGCAUUGACUACCCAUUUCAAAAAUUGCUACAAUCAUUUAGACGAGCGAAUCAAUAUUUCCCCCGCCAUCGGACGAUUAAGACUUCACUUCUUGGUUGAUUUUUAUAUGCUUUUUGGCUAGAUUAUAUCACUAUUUUGGGUUGUUUGGUUUCCUUUCUUUGGAUAUUUGGGAUAUUUAUAUUGGUUGCAUAUUUGGUCACUUUGGGAUGUUUUUUUUAUUUUCAUUGACUUUGGAUGCUUUAUUUCAAAUGCACUGCUAUUGUUUUUUUUUUUGUUAUUCUAUCUACUUUUUUACAUGCUUUAUUUUUCUUUUGUUUUAUUACUUUUAUUAUUCUUAUGUCUCCAUAUGUUUAAGUAGUGUGCACUUCUUCCUCUAGUUUUUCAAGCGUGCAUUCUUUUUGAUAUUACAAAAAAAAGGGAGAAAAAUGUAAAAUUUGCAUAAUAUAAUUUUCAACUAAAGCACAAAAGCAAAAUUCUCCUUAGUAUCAAAAAAAAUUCUUUCAACUUAAUCUUAAAUCCAAAUUCUUUAGUUGAAAUUUUAAAUGAAAUUACGUUUAAAAUAUUUUUUUUCAAAAAGGGAGCUUAUUUUGAAAAUAAUGUUUAAGAUAGGGGGAGUUAACAAAUUUUUUCAAAAUGUUCUUUUUAUAUCAAAAAGCGGGAGAUUUUAGCUCUAGUUUUUCAAGUAUUUUGAUAUAAUAAAAUGUAUAUUACAAAUAUCCUACUUAAAUUUGUAAAAAUUGUUUAUAAGUCCUUAAAAUUACUUUCAAAGUGUUGGAUAAGAUAAACAUUUAAAAAGCCUUAAAUUAACUUAAUUUUUAACGAGUUUUUGAAAUCUGAAGGACUUCUACCGAUACUUAGGUGGCCAAGUAUCGGUAGAACUCAAGAUGGAAAGACCUUGAAAAGGCUACAGAAUUCUACUGGUAGAACUGAGAGUUCUACCGAUACAACUCAGACUUCUAUCGGUAGAACACACUCUAGUGUACAAGGUAGUAGCCAAAGUUCAACCUCCCCUGCACUUCUACCGAUACUCUACUAGGUUCUACUGAUACCAGUUGAAACCCUCAGAGUUUUACCGGUACAAGAGGACCUCUACCGAUACAACGAAGCAGCAGACUGCAUUUAAUGCUAGUUUUUAUGGCUACAACUUUAUUUUGUUUCUAGCGGCUACAAACAUCCUCUAUGUUGUUAGAUGAUUUAAAUACAAGGUCAAGGCUCCUCAUUAAAGAUAUAGAAACAAGUGCAUAAAUUCCAAGAACUUAAUUUUAAAUCUUUCUCAAUCUUUUACUAAAUAUUUCUUGUACACACUUGUGGGUUAAGUUUUCUAUCAUUCUAUCAAGUGUUGUAACUUUGUGUGAGAGUGUUUAAUUGUUGAUUAUCUACCUUUUAGAGGCAUCAUCUUAUUCAUCAUUAUUUUCUCUUGUUUAUGAGGUGUUACUUAAGGUUUUGGGUAGAAAUCCUUAAGAGGAAGUGGUUUUAUCUUACCUUUGGAAAUAUACGAAUUUGUAAGGUUAAACCUUGUCCUUAAAGGUUAAAAUCUAGAGGAUUUGAGAAAUCUUUAGUUGAGGAAAUAUAAGGUAGUGGAGGUAGGCAAUUGAGGCCAAACCACUAUAAAUACUUGAGUUGUUUUAUUUUCGUCAUUUCUCGAAAACGUUUUAAUACACCAAUUUACCCUCCUCUUGGUGUAUUUCGAUCUCAACAUAGACAUUCGACUGUGUCAAAAUGAACAACUCACGAUGUUGGGACAAUGAUGAUCUCAAGCCUGAGGAUCAUAUACAUAGUUAUCACUUUGAGUAAUGUUGUGACUAUUACAUAAUAAUCCAAGAAACAUACUCAUAACGAGUCAGUCCAAUAUGUUGUUAUCUCACACAUACUACAUAUUAGUCUCAAUGCAUUAUUGUUGUCCAAACCCAAGAUAAUAUUUGACUAAGGACGUUUUAAGAAUAAUCAUAUUUUCUUAAGACUUUAUUACAAUUUAAUUUAUUUAUAUACACAGAAAAAUAAAUUGAAAUAAUAAUGGCAAUGCAUUAUAUUAAUAAAUAAGGUAAAAUAAGUAUGUAACUACAAUCAUCUCAUGAUUGGUCUUUAGGCAUACUAUAAUAGUCAAAAAGCGUUGAUUUCUUUGGACAAUUCCUUACCAUAGGCGGACCAUCACAAAGGAAGCAUUUCACUGGCCCCUUUGGUUUGUUGUUGGGUUUUCACUUCCCAUUAGUCAGUUUCCUAUUGCUACCAUUGCCACUGUGGCCAUUUUUGUCUUGUUCUCUCCAGUACUCUCCCCUACAAUUGCCCAUCCUUUUGGGCUUGGAAGACUCAAACUUGUCUUUCUUCAGAACAAGCUCAACAAAAGACUCUACCUCGGCAGUAAGCUCAGUGAUACCUUUUCGAUGCAACUCCCAAUUCUCCCAAGGCUUCAACUCAUCUUCAAACCACUAGAAUGUUUAUUUCUAACACAAAUCAAAUAUUUGAAGCAUCAACUCACUGAAGUCUUUGACGUACUCCCGAACAGUGCCUCAUUGUGUAAGUCGGUGCAAAUUAGCUCGAGACUCUUUCUCAGCAUUUUGUGGGUAAAAUUGCUUUUUCACCUCUUUUUGGAACUCCUACCAAGUUUCAAUUACGGUCCCACCUCAUUUCUCAUCUGUGGACCUAUGACGCUACCAUAAGAGAGCAACAUCGGUAAAGUAAAUUGAAGCAAUGUCUACCUUAGUGGUAUCAUCCUCAAUGCCCAUCGCAUGGAAGUAUUCUUUCAUUUCCCACAAGAAGUUGCCCACUUCCCUCGCAAACCUUGCACCUUUAAAAUUUUCCAAUUAAGGAACAUUCAUUUUUUGUUGCUUCGAUCCCGAAGCCAACAUCCCAUUUGUAACACCCAUUACUCGGUCUAGUCGCCGAACUGAGUAACGAGAUAUUACUACUAUAAUCGGAACUAACAUAUUAAAAUAAUCAUGCAAUAAUUAUUCAAAUAUCAAUUGUAAUCAUAUAAUGUCAUUCAAAUAGAAUUCGAGACUAAACUGAGCUUACAGAAGCUCUAUUGAUGACCUAGGCAUGAUUUAGGACCAAACUGCAAAGUUUGGAAAAUUUGAAAUCCACGUCGUGACGUCGAUGGAAAGUGAGUCAUGUCACGACGUUAGACCACUUAAGGUUGGGACGUCACAAGUUGUUGGCCGACGUUGCGAAGAGGACUCUAUUUUUUGGUAAAACAAGACCAUUUGGUACCAAAUUCUUGCCAAGCCAAACCAUUUGCCAAAAUGAUUUAUAUUUGGCCAAUCAAACCUGUACAAAACCAACUUAAACACAUACCAACAUAUCCGUUUCACCAACCAAAAAACCAUUCAAGCUAUUCCACACGAAAUGAACUCUUUCCUAGCUUAGCAACCUAUGUAUUCAUUAAAUACUCAAACAUAGCUCACCAUUCACCUAUCACAUUCCAAAUUUUAACCAAAAUUCAAUCAAACAUACCAUUUAUGUUUCAUCAAUUGCUUAAAAAAUGCCAAAGUUCACAUCUUAUAACAUAACACAUUUACCAUUUAAAUUAAGUACGAUUAAAAUACCAAAACUAACACCAUUCAAGAUGACAUCCAAACAUAUUAAGGCAUAUAUAUAUACACACAAGUAUCACAUAUUCAAAUAUUCUCCCAUCAACUUGUUAAGCUCAUACUUCAUUCAUAGCUAGAGACAUUACUAACCAUUACAUCAAAGUACAAAACAUCAAACCAUCCAAAAAUUCGAAUGACAUUCACAAUUCAAUACUUCAGAUUUUAACAUUUCACAUAUAAGCAUAACUUAUCCUAUAUACAUGCCACAUAAUCAGGUCUAAAAUGAAAGAAAAACUACCCAAACGAAGACUAGAUAGUGUGAGCUCUGGAGAUGAACCAAUAGACACAUUCCAUAAAAUGUCAACUAUAGAAAAUAGAAAACAAAACAGAGUAAACUUUAAGUAAGCUUAGUAAGUUCAUAGGUUAAAUAUAUGGUAACUUACCUUGAAAUACAAGAAUACAAAAAAAUUACAAUCAAUUUAAAUGAUAAUUUCAAUCUUGGUAAUACAUUCCACAAGAAACAAGCAGUCCUUCAUAAUACCAUAUGAAAAAACAUUUCAAUUUGACAUUUCAUUCAAUUCAAUCAAUUCACUCGAAUCUCAUGCAUAUAAUCAAAUCAUUCACUUUUUUUACUUUAUCAGAUUAUCUUACUAAAUAAUAGUAAAAUGGUUUGAAUACUCGGGUAUCUACACCAUAUCAGAGAACAUCGUAAUGUUAUACAGAGGCACUGUAGUAUAAACAAAAGCACCAAAGUGCAAAUAAAGGCAUCGAAGUGCAAUCCUGUACAAGCGCGCAACUAACCCUAUUAGCAUGCCAAUCAUAUCUUAAUCGUUUACUAAGUUCAAACAGGCAUUUAUACUAAUUCAGAACAUUCACACUAUCAUAGCAUUUCUAUGAAUCAAAACAUAUGUCGUAACCAUAUUAUAUUCAUUCAUUACUUCAUACAAGUUAUAAGCAUCACAUACGCAAAACUUUAUAAUUUAGUCCAAGCUCACCUUUCGUACAAUUUUGCAAAUACGUCAAGAUAUAACAAUCAUAAAAACUUCUAUAAUACGAGUAAAUAACACUCAAAACAUACAUACACCAUAUGAAAUUACCUAUUAAAACCAUCUAGCGAGUUGAAAUGUAGGGACUUUUUUGUAAUUUUCCCUUUUUUGACUAUUCUCAACUUAGUUCAAUCUUUGAUCUACAAGAUAACUAAAUUCAAAUUAUCGAUUUUAAAUGCUUUAUAACUCUCAAAUACAUGAAUAUGGAUUUUUCAUUUCAUUUUACAAAAUUUCUUUGAAGUUUUACAUUUUAUUCAAUUUAGUCCCUAAAACUGAAACCACUAUAACUUUCACAUUUAAGCUUCAUUUUUUCAAUAGAUUUUCAAUUUAAUCCUUAUAUAACCCUAUAGAAACAUCAAUUACAGAAAUUUCAUAUCAAAUUUGACACAUUUAAAUUUUAGUCCUUAAACUCAAAACUAAAAAAAAACACUUUAAAAAGUAGUCCUUGAUCAUUUCUAAGUUAACAAAUCUACCAUUUAACAUCAAAAAAGCUUCAAAAACAAAAAUGAAAACUUUUAAAUAUUUGAUAGUUUUACAAAAUAAUCCCUAGACUUUGCUAAAUCAAGCUCCCCAGAUUCCAAAAACAUAAAAAUUACAAGAAAAAAUUUUUUUGACUCACCAAAUUGAAAAACAAACUUGGCCAAAAGUUAGGCCUUCUUCUUCCUUUUAAACUAUAUUUUUGAGUAAAACAAUGGAUGAAUGUUUUCUUCUUUUCUUUUACUUUUACAUUAUAAAACAUGUUUUUUUAUUAUAAAUAAUUUUAUAAAUUAAUAUAAUUAUCAAAUAAUAGGGCCACCAACCGUCCACUAUAAUGCACUAGGGUCUAAUUACCUUCUAAGUCCUUGCUUAAUUACUAAUUAAGCUUUUUAACUAAUUAAAAUCUAUAGCAAUUAACUUCAACGAUUUUUACGAUUUAGUCCUUGUAACCUAAUUAACCAUUCAAUCAACAAAAUUACAAGAUUAAAAUUCAAUGUAAUUCUAUAAUAGACUCAUAAAUAUUAAUAUUUAAUAUUUACUAACUCGAUCAUUAAAAUACAGGGUUUCAUAACUAUCGUUUUUUGCAUCAUUGAAAAAUAGGUUAUUACAUCAGUACUCAAAGCAGCCUUGUAGAUUGUGGGCUCCCUUUUAACCUCUGAAAUCUAUUCAUUCAAGGCCAUCACUGUGGCAUCGAGAGCAUUAUCCCUCACUUUCAGCUUAUCCAUAGUGGAAUAGAACAUCCUUUCCAUCUCUUCCACAUUGGAACUGAGAGACUCCAACACAAAUUCCCUAAGCUUCUCCUUCAUUGAGUCUAGCUUAUCGGUGUGUCCUUCAAAUACUUUGAGUGUGCCAUGGACUCCUCGAGAUUGAUAAUUCUUCUUUCCAAAGCCGACAGCAUAACCCUCAAUUGGCUAGCUUUCCUAGCCCUCUCCCUGGUCUCAAUUGGCUCAAUUUGAUCGUUUAUCUUUCGUCAUUUUGACUGGCGCCUUUGAAAUCUUAGCUCGGAUAUCAACUAUCACGAGGCUAGAACAUUAGUCUAGUAAACCGCAAAGCCUUAGGUGAUUUCUUGGGUUCAAAUCCACCUAAUUCAACCUUAUUCUCGCAAAAUGAGAAUUCUCACAAAAAUUCUCCAAGGCACCAAAGCAAAGUGAAACCAAACUUGAAAAAGAAAAGAGAAAAGAAAGAACAGAAAAGCCACAGAAAAAUAAUGCACAUCAAGUGUUUGAAUAAAUGAUCUUAAAAGUAUUCUAUUAUUUUGAAGGUUUGCAACUAAGUGAGUGGGAAUGGCUCUAUUUAUGGUUGAGCUCCCCUAACUCCAAGUGUACAAAUUAAGUUACAUCGACAAUCAAGAUAUGUGUCUAUUUACAAAAUGAAAGUCCUAAAGGAUUUAAACUCUAUACAUCUUUAUUCAUUAGGAUUUACAUUAAUUACCCUAAUAACUUUAAUUAUAUUAAAGUGUUUCACUGGGCUACCAAGGCUUUAAGUAAAUGGGCUUCUCUAAAUGAGUUAGACCAAUUCAAGCGGGUCAUGCCUUAAUUUUGAGAUUAUCUAUGCAUAUUUAGGAAAUAAAUUAGGCAUUAGUUUGUUGGUUAAGUGUUAGUGAAACGUUCCUUGAAACCCAAAUUCAAAUCCCUUCUCUUUCACCAUUUUUAUUAUUUUGCAAAUUUUGCCUUAAACUAAACCCUAGUAGGUGACAUGCCUUGUUUUUAAAAUAAAUAUUGAAAAAUUAUUUCAAGAAUGAGGAAAAAUCCUAAUAGUUAAUAUAAAAAUUAGAAACCAUGGAAAUUAAAUGAGGUCCCAAGUUCAAAUCCUUUUCCUUAUGAAAUAAUUAAAUUUUGCAAAAUCCCUUAUUUUGUAAUGUCAUCCAUACCCUUGAGCCCUGAGUAUAAAUAAAAUUUUUUAUUGUAUUUUUUAGCCUUUAAUUCAAUUUUUCCCUACCCAAGACGUUCACCCUCUUCCUCUCCUCUUUUCUCUUAAAUUUUCUUUUUUUCUCCCAUUGUUGUCGUCGCCUACACCUCCCAUUUUACCAUCUCUUUCUUCUUCUUUUUGCAUCAAGAUUGUGCACCAUCUCAUUUACUCUAUUGCUUCCAUUUAUCCUCAUCUAAAUAAACCCCAAAUCUAAAAUCUUGAACCCCAAGAUCGAUCCCAAACAUUGCCAAGAAAGUGUCAUUUUCGUUUCUCUCAACUAGCUUGGGUAAGAUCUCUUUUCUCUUCAAUUUCUAGAUUAAUUUAAAUUUUUUAAAGGUAUUUUUCCAUAUUUUAAUGACAUCUCAAAAUGUUUUAAAAUUCAGCCCCAGUUUUGGCCACCAUGGGUGGUGGUGCGUGUGCCUAUGUGCAAGAAAGGGGGUUGUUUUGUUUCUUGGGUCUUGCCUAUAUUUUCCCAGAAUUAAAUUAUGUUCUUGAACCCUCCUAAUCAGUCUUUAAUCACAUUUUAAUUAGGUAGAGGCGUUCUUGAUCAAUUAGCCAAAAGGAUCCCGCAAAUCGUGAAGGAUAAGUGCAAUUAAGGAUAACUAGUUUGUUAUUUCGACAUAGUUGUUGGGUAAAGGUUAUGAAUUGAUUAAAUGGAGGAAUUUAAUCAUUAAUUAGAUACUGGUUUUCUAGUAUAUUAUUGAAUUAGGUGCUGACUCAAAUACCCCAAAUCAUCCAUAAAGGCGAAGAACGAUUGUACGUACAGUUCGCAUCGAUACAGUGUAAGGAAUUUAACUAGUUUGGAUUCAUAAAAUAGUUAUAAUUUCAAUGAUUUGAUUGAACUCAUAAGUGGGUGUUUGGGGGAUGGUUUAGUGGUAAAUUGAUUGAAUUUAUACUGAAUUUUGGUUUAGGUUCGUUUAAGGAAUUAUUAAGGAAAAUUAGAAGAUUCGCUAGUGUACUAAGAUGAAGCAAAAAAUAAGGUGUGGGUUCUAAACUCAUAAAAUUGUUUGAAAAUGUUAAAUGUCAUGUUAUAUUUGAUAAAUUAGCUUACUGAUUGGAUUGGCUUAAUAGCCAAAUUAUUGAUUUUGUGAGUGGUUGAACCAGGUAUGUUUCGAGCCUUAAAAGAUUGACAUGGUAGCAAAAUUUCUAGUUUGGUAGUAUGAAUGUUUGAUUGAGUUGGUAAUUUCAUAUUUGAGUUAUGAGAUAUGAGAAUGUUUGAUUUAAUGAUAUAAUGUGUUGAGAUAUUAAGCUUAUGUAUGAUUUAAAUGCACGAUAUCUUUGUUAUAUUGUGUACUGAAAAGGGUGUUAUUUAUGCACAAUAAAAAUUCGUAAAGUAUGUGAAAUUGAACGAUAUUGAUUGAUACCAACACAAUGGUGAUUUGAAAGAUUGGAAUACUAUUUCCAUUUAUUGAAAGUAUGUGAUUAUUGAGGACAUGCUGAGCAUGUCAAAUGAAUGUGAAAAGUAUUGAGAUAUGAUUGUGUAUGAGAUUGUGUGACAUAUUGCAUAUGCAUUGGGUUCGGAUUCGGAAUCGAAUGAUUACGAGAUAGACAAUGAUACAAAGCCCAGAGAGGAGAGCACUUAGACAAUUCAUUUUUAGUACAGGGAAGUCUGCUGGUAGGAAUUCCUCAGGGCGUAUUACGGUUUUUCACCGAGGGGGUGAAUCGAAACGAUUGCAGCGAAGAAUUGAUCUGAAACGAAGCACUUCAUCAAUGGGCAUUGUAGAAAUGAUAGAAUAUGACCCUAAUCGUUCUUUUCGGAUCGCUCCAAUACGAUGGAUUGAGGGGUCUGGGUCUGCCAGAAGAAAUUGAAUACGAUAGAGGAGUUCGCUCCGCCGAGUAACGGCCCGCCCAAAAUAUUGGAGGGUUCGGGUAAAAAUAUAGGCCCGAAAUAUGGGUUUGGGCAAAAAGCAGGCCGGGCCUCGGCACCACUUUUUUGGCCCAAGCCCGGCCCGGCCUGGCCCGAAUAAAUAAUAAAUAUUUAUUUUUUAUUUUUUUAUUUUUAAAAUAUUUUUAAAAUACUUUUAAAAUACUUUUUUUAUUUUAAAAAUAAAUUUUGUGUUUAUUAAAAAAAUGGGCCGGACCGGUCUCGGGCUUAGGGAUUUUUUCUCGGGCCGGUCCUGGACAAAAUUUCAAGCCUAUAUUUUGGGCUGGGCCGGGCUUAGGACUAGGACGCGGGCCAAAAUUUUUUAUGGGCCCGGCCCGACCCAUGAGCACCACUAACUACACCUGGAGUACCGAGGGGAAAGGCAAUUUAUCGCAUUUUUACUGGCAGCUUGUUUGCAUUUUUACUGGCAAAAUUUUCUGUAUAUUGUUAUAGGUGGAUUUAACCACAACGGGCUUAAGCUCAUAACAUUUUGGAGUUCGAAUGAUGGGUUCUGGGGAACUCGUGGUGUGUAGCGGAUGGUAUGGGUAGAACCUUUUUGCAUUGCAUCAUGUGCACGACAUAUUCGAAUUUUAUUGAUUUGUGCUACGUAUUAUAUUUUGUUGUAUUGAAUGGUAUCAAAAUUAAUGAUUGUUACUUGAAUGAAUGAUGACCCAUGCUCAUACACCAUUUAACAUCAAUUUGAUAAUGGCUAUGUAAUGAUAUGAAAUUCCUAUGAUGGUUCUGUUUUCUUCUGCUAUUACUAAUAUGUUUCACUGUAUUUGAUAUUUCAUUCCGUUUAAAUAAUUGUUCGACUCACACUGAGCUUUUCAUAAGCUCACCCCCAAUAGUAUUUAACUUUUCAAGUAAACCUUGAAAUUCGGACCGGACUUGGCAUCCAGAGAAUCUCCUUGGACCUCGGACUAUUCUUAAUAAGUAUUAUAAAGUCUUUAUUGGUUUUGGUUUAUAUUUUUUAAUUAUUUCUGGUCUGUGGCUUGGUAACUUUUCUUCUGGAAUUUUUGCAUGUAUGGAUUACUCAAGCAUAAUAAUCGAAUGAUGCAUGAUAUCGGGCUUAAGUAAAAUUUGAUAUAGUUCUCUAGUUUCCGCUGCAUUGCAAAGGAACCAUUUGUUUAACAUUGAGUUUUUUUUUUAAAGAAGAGUGACAAGCAAUUUGUUUUUCUAAAACAACACUAUCAACAAUAAAAUAAAUCCUAAGUAUACACGACCUACUGAAUGAAUGCUUUUCAAUUAACUCAGAGUACAACUACUAUUUUCUCUAAAAUGCGUUUAUUUAAUGUGUUCAAAAGUAACAUAAGUUAGCUUAGCCAUUUCGGUGGCUAAUGUAGCCUUCUCAAUCUAGCCAUAACAUCUAGGCCAGGUUUGGGAGAUUACAAGUCAAAUGAUCCCCAUUUAGUCUGUUGACCUCCAUGGGACAUUCUAUGCACAAUGGUCAUGGGCUUUGAUCCCCGGCUUGUGACACAAACAUAUACUUGAAUAUAUGGAAACUUGUGAAAAGAUAGGCCAAAAUACCCUGAGGAUGGCAUGACCUAUUAGUGUAUUAAUAUGAAAAUAAUUGAUGGUAAGAUACCAAGUGAUAUUGAACUAUGUAAUUUGCUUCUUGACACAUAGAAAGAUAACGUUAUACUUCAAUAUUACACACUUUUUUAUUGUUUAAUUCAUUUUUUAUUGAAUUUAAAUUAUUUUAGCACCACCAAGUAUUCAAUAUUCAUCGUAUGGAUUUGUUUAUUUUUGUGUGUAGGCUCUAAUAGGUUUUGACAGAUUAAAAGAAUCAUAAAGCAUCUAAGACUUAAUGGCUCAACUCAAACCAAGUUUGUAUUCUUUUGCUUACAAAUGGUUAAAGACAUGUACCUAGGUUGAGUCAGAUGGUUUAAUGUCAUUUUGGGUCCUAUUGAUAUGCUUUGGUAUAUUGGACUUAUAGUUUCCCUAAAGAUGAAAUUUGAUGCUUAGGUAGAUAACUAAAUGCAUGCUUUUGCUUGCCUUUUUAUCUACCUAUUCAGGUGAAAUAUGAUGCUUUGAAUGUCAUUUUUUUCAAGAAGUGUGAAUGUGUUUGAUAAGUUAGCCAUGCGUGAAUUGAUAUGGUAUAAUGUUAUAAAAAGUUAGGCGGCAUUUGGAUAUGAAUCUUAUGCAUAAAAUUUUGCAUUUUAGACAAUUUGAUAUGUUGGUUUCGAGACAACAAGAACAAAAAUGACUAUUUCAUUCAUUUUUCAAUUUAGGUCUCGAGACAUGUUCAUUAUGUCUCGAGACAUAUAAUGUUAUGUCUUAAGACAGAUAGCCCAUUGUCUCAAGACUAAUAAAUGUUGAACCUAUAUUAGUUUUGCCUUCUUCUAGGUCUAGAGUAAUAAUAAUUUGUCUCGAGACAUUUAAACAUUGAAGCUAAAUUAUGAAAAUAUGGGAAGUAUGUCUCGAGACUAGUUUGGAGACAUGAAUGACCUAGUUUCGAGACAUGUACCUCAUUAUCUCGAGACUUGUCAAAAUAGUAAGCAAAGGAUGUAGGUCUCAAGACAAAAUCACAUUGUUGAACUUCGGUACUUUGAGUUGGAUCCAAAUCCUAGCUUCGAAAUUGAAACCAUGUAACCCUGAGACAUGAUAAUUAAGGAUAUUUGACAUUUAUAAUGCAUGUAUAUGAAUGAUGAUUGAUCUGAUGUGUAUGAUAUUUAUAAGUUAAAUUUGUGAAAAUUUAUUUAGUUAGUCUGAGUUGCUUCGACAACAUAAUGUGACAUCUCACAUUCGAAUCAUCCGAUCGGGUCGAGUGUGAGGUGUUACAUUGAGAACAAUUCAUGUUUCAAAAAAGACAAAAAUAACUCCUAUUUUGGAACAAGCCUCAUGUUUCAAAAAAGACAGAAUAACAAUUCAUUUCAAUAGAUGUUCAGCAAAAUAUGCUUCUCAUGGUACUACUUCACCAAAGUAGAAGAAAAAAAAGUCACCCUAGAAUAUGGCAGGGUCCUUGGGUUAUCUUCACUAUCCGGAUUUUUUAAAGAGUUUGGCUUGGUGAAUCAUAUAUGGAGGUAGUUAAAAGGUUUCAUCUUAACCUUUUCCUGUAACAUUGGGUGCUUCUCUCUUUUUUCAAAAACAUGCAUAACUCUUCUUCAAUAUUCACCAUUACCAACAAAAAAUUUACUAAAAAAUUGACCAUUAAUGCCACUAUAACUGAAAAUUAAUUUCAUUACUCAUAUUAGUUUCUCAUCUUUCUAACUCCCUUUUCCAAACUCUAUAAAUAGAAGCCCUUUACAACUAGUGAAGCGACUUUGACACUUUGGCAGUCUGACUCUCAAAAGUUAUUUCUAAAACUCUUUCAACCUAUUCAUUUUCUAAACCUUAUUCUUAGCCAUACACAUCCUUUCUCCACCUUACAAACCACCACCAUUCAUUAAGCUCAGUGUUACCAAAUUUGCUCAGUCUCCUCACUACCUUCUUCCGGUAAAUCCCAUUCACUUGUUUGCAACACUUCUUUUCUCUACCAAAAAACUCUCUACAACCACAAAGUAUUUGUUUUAAAUAAAUGCUACUUCCACCAAAGUGUUAGAUAUACUUCAACUCAUGUAUAAAAGUAACAUGGCACAUUAGAUUACACCUCUACCAAAUACAUGGUUACUUGCAAGUAAUAAUGACAUAUUAAGUAGCAUACUCACUACUAACAACCCAACCAAACAUAAGUUAAAUUUGUUGUAACUACAUGAAAAUGAAACACUCAAUCAUCUCUUCCUCAACUAUCCUUGAAUGUUUUAUGAUUUAGAUUGGAUUUUGGUCUAUGAAUUUUUAACCUUAUGAUGAAAAAGAUUUAGCUUUUCCUGUGAAAAUUAUGAGAACCUCUUUAAAAUCAACAAAAAAAUCAUGGAUUUAAUUUAUAUUAGCGAGUAUAAUCUCUUGUUUAUGACUUCAAAUUAGUAAACCACACUUGAUUUCUGUAAUAAAACAAGUAAAGGAGAUGAGCAUAGAACUUUGAGGAACAAAGCCUUAACUACAUGUAAAAGGGUUGGUCUAGCAGAAGAAAACCAUUCAACUUAUGUUAUGUUGGAAAAGAAUAUAUACUUGCAUAGCUUAGGGCAAGGGUGUGAAAGGUUUUGGUAUCUCUUUUUGUGUGUUACAUAAUACAUAUAUAUCAUCAUAUAACAAAAUCCUAGAAACAAGGUAAAAGUACCAUGGAGGCCUCUGUACUAGGAGGCAAAUUGCAUUUUGCUUCAUCUACUCAAAAAUAGACAAAUAGCCCCUGAACAUUAGAAAAAAUUGCAAAUCGACCCUUUCAUUAAAAAUUCUAUCCAUAUGCGUUGUUAAGUGCUGAUUUGAAUUUUUUUUUUAAUUUUCUUUAAUGUAAGUAACAUGGAAUUAAAGGAUAAGUAGGAUUAGGUCAAAGUACCAUGGAGGCCCCUAUGCUAAAAGUCAGUUGUAGUUUGUCCCAUCAACUGAAAAAAUGGGAAAAUUAGUUCAUAUACUUUAGAUUAAAGAGUAAACUAGUCAUUCUAUAAAAAAAUCUAUCUAUUUCUACUUUUAAGUGAUGACAUGACUAACAGAGCAACCAAAUAGUGAUACAUGGUGUGCCACAUGUACCUCAUUUGGAUGUGGCGCAUUUUGCCACAUCAAUAUUUAAAAUAAAAAAUAUCAUAAAUAUUUUUUUAAUAUUUAUUUAAAAAACCACGUCUAAUAUGAACCUAGACAACGUUGUCCAUGUUCAAAACCUGAAUAAAUAAUUGUCUAAGUUCAACCAGGACAUGAUUUUAAAAAAAAUUAAAAAUUUAUUUAGAAAAUAUUAAAAUUUAUUAGAAUUAAUAUUUUUUUAAAUUAUUGAAAACAACUUUCAAAAUGAACUGGGACAAAUAGUUAUCCAACUUAAAAUGAGCCUAGACAAACAUUUGACUAGGUUCAUUUUGGAGUUGUUUCUUAAACAAUUAUACAUAAUUAAAGAAAUUUAUUUAAAAUUUAUCAAUAAUUAUAAUAAAUUAAAAAAAUAGGAGUCAUUAACUUGAUUAACUAAAAAUAUAUACUCGAUAAAUAAAAUGUGUGUAUGCGCGCUCUCGCGUGUGUGUAUAUAGGUAUAUUUGAAUUCUUUAAACAUGCUAGAUGUGUAUAUAUGUUAAUUUUAUAAUUUUUUUAAAAAUAAUAAUUGCUUAUAAUUUUUAAUAAUUUUUAAAUAAUUUCCUAUAUUUUUUAUAAUUAUUUAAGAAACCACUCUAAAAUGAACCUAGACAAUCCAAGCUCAUUCGAACUUGGACAACCAUUUGUCUAGGAUCAUUCUGGACAUUGUUUUUAAUCAUUUUUAAUCAAUAAUCAUUUUAUUUUUUUAUAAUUCUUAAUAAUUUUAAAUAAUUCUCUCCAUUUUUAUAAUUUUUUGAAAAACCAUGUCCAGGAUGAAAUGAACUAGGAUAACCAUUUGUCUUAGUUCAUCUUGGAUGUGGAUUUCUAAAUAAUUAUAAAUAAUUAUUUAUUUUUAGGUUUUUUUUAAUUUUUUUUAAAUAUUACCAUAGUAGCAUUAGGUGUACAUGGCACGACAUAAGUUAGUGGCUAGUUCCUCUGUUAGCAACAUUAACAUUUGAUAGUAAAAAUGGAUAAAUUUUUUAACAAAAGGGUUAUUUUGCUCUUUGAUCUAACAUACAUGAGCUAAUAUGCCCCUUUUGAGUAGAGGGGAAAAAUGCAACCCGACUCCUAAUACAUGAGCUUUCAUGACACAAAAUGCAACCCAACUCAUCCUUCAAUUCUAGACCACUUAUAUAAAAAAAUUAAAAAGCCAAAUCAUCAUUUAAUAGCACAUAUGGAUGAAAUUUUUUAAUGGAAUAGUCAAUUUUCACUUCUUCUUUUUCUAACAUACAAGGGCUAAUUUACCCAUUUCUGAGUAGAGGAAGCAAAAUAAAAUUCGCCUUCUAGUACAGUGGCCUUUAUGGUACUUUUACCUAGAAACAUAGAAUAAAAGCUAUUGGAAAAACUUCAAUCACUAAGAGUGUGUUUCUAAAAGAAUGACUUAAAAAAUGUUUUUUUUUUUACAUUUUUCUGUGUUUGUUUUAUAGAAAUAAAUUGGGCAAUGAAAAAUGACUUAUUGGUCAACGAAAAAAAAAUUGUCUUCCCCUUUUGAAAAGCAUAAAAUAUUUUCUAGAAAAGAGCCCUCGUAUGAGUAGACACGUUCAAGGGCCGAGCUACUCGCCCAAAAUCGGAGGGUUUGAAUUAAUAUCUUAAGCUUGAAACAUGAGUUUUGGAAAAAAGAAGAAGGAAUACUCAUUUGAAAUAUGGGUUGCACUUAGGCUCUAACUUUUAAGGAGGGAAAUAUAUUAUAUUACUAGUUUUCUUACCCAUUAGAUGUACUAGCUUACUUAGUGUAUAAAUUAGUUAUAAUCCUAAGAGUUAUGAAAAUUGGUCAAAAUUUGAAUCUAAUAUUAAAUUAUUUAAUAAGUAAAUUUAAAUAAUUUAAUAUAUGUAGAUAGUAAUAUUGAUCAAAAUUAUAAAACAACGAAUCAACCUUUAAUUAAUAAUAGUGUAAAUUAGUACUUAUAUAUAGACGUACAAGUUUAUUGUAUUUACACUAAAAGAUAUAUUUAAUUAAUUCAUAUUAUAUAUAAUACUUACACAUACUAUAAUUUAGGUCAUGUAUAAAGAUAUAAUUAAUUCAUACUUUUAUAUAAAAAAUACACGUGUAUAUAUUAAUAUUUAUUUGAAUUUAAAUUUAAAAUUAAUUUUUUAAUAAAAAUAGUGAAGAACUUAAUACUUAUUUAUAGGGUAAAAUAGUGAAAAACAUUUGCACUAAUUUCUAGGAUAAGUGUGAGUAUGAAAGUGUUCUCUAGCCAAUGUGAGAUUAAAAUUAACGUUUAAUAAAAAUAGUGAAGAAAUGAGUCAUGGGAGUCUUAUCUAGUCAAUGUGGGAUUAAAAUUAACUUUUUAAUGAAGAAAUUAUCACUUAUUUAUAUGGUAUAUGUGAUAAUAUGCGAGUGUUUUCUAGUCAAUGUGAGAUUAAAAUUAACUUUUUAAUGAAAAUAGUGAAGAAAUGGACACUUAUUUAUAGGGUAAGUGUGAGUAUAGGAGUGUUCUCUAGCAAAUCUGGGAUUAAAAUUAACUUUUUAAGAGAUUAAAAUUAAUUUUUAAUAAAAAUAGUAAAGAAGUGAGUUAUGGAAGUACUCUCUAGUCAAUGUAGGAUUUAAAUUAAUUUUUUUCAAUUAAAAUAGUGAAGAAGUGAACUAGGAGAGUAUUUUCUUUGAUCAAUGUGAGAUUAAAAUUAAAAUUUUUAAUGAAAUAGUGAAGAAAUUGUCACUUAUUUAUAAGGUUAGUGUGAGAUAUGAUAGUGUUCUCUAGUCAAUGUGGGAUUAACUUUUUAAUGAAAAUAGUGAAGAAAUUGACACUUCUUUAUAGAGUAAGUGCGAGCAUGUGAGUGUUCUCUAGCCAAUGUAAGAUUAAAAUUAACCUUUUAAGUUAAAAUUAACUUUUUAAAGGAUUAAAAUUAAUUUUUAAUAAAAAUAGUGAAGAAGUGAGCUAUGGAAUAUUCUUUAGUCAAUGUGGGAUUAAAAUUAAUUUUUUUAAUGAAAAUAAUGAAUAAAUAAGCUAUGAGAGUAUUCUUGCAACAACCCGAUUUUUAGUGGUGUCGAAAAACGAUGGUUUCGGAACCUUAUUUUCGAUGAUUGAGUCCGUAAAUAUUAUUAUUUAAUAUUUACGAGUUUAUUUUGAAUUAUAUUGAAUUUUGGUUUAGAAAUUUUAUUGAAUUGAUAAUUAACUAAGGUACAAGUGUAAUGACCCUAAAGUCAGUGGUAUCGAAAAAUGAGGUAUCGGGACCUCAUUUUUGUGAACCGAGCCCAUAAAGAUUUUUAUUAAAUAUUUAGUGAGUUAUUAUAUAGGUGAAUUGAAUUUUGAAUAAUUGAAUUUUGAAUAAGUAAUUUUGCCGAAUUAAUUACUAAUUAAGGUACAAGGACUAAUUUGUAAAAGAGGUAAAAGUUAAUUUGUAACAUCUCAAAAAUUAGGGGUUAGAAUUCUUAAGAAUUAAAACAUAGCAUAAUUGGUUGGAAGCCUAGUAGAAAGUCUUGGGAACUUAGGUAUAAGUCGUAUAAAUUUGAUUUUAUCUCUUUAAUUUUUCUGCAGAUACAGAACCUAGGUAAUAUGCUUUAUGUAUUUAUUUGUGUGAGUAUUAAGCAUGAAUGUGGGCACUAGCCCAAUGGUUAAGGCCUUCCCAACUUUUCCUCUCACUUCCAAAGUUCUACCCAUAUUAGCUUAUCUCAUUUUUGAUGAUUUUUAGACAAAUGGGUUAUUUGCCCAUUAGCCCUCAAACUCUUCCCCAACUCAACUCUUUAAGCCCUUUUCUAAUUUAACUAAAAUCUCCUAUUUGUUAUUUUAUCAAAUUGAAACCCUAACUCUCUCUAUUUAUACCCUAGUUUUCUCUCAAAAUUCUCUGUUUCAAAGCUCUUUUAAGCCCUUAAGUUUUGCUGAAAAAUAUUCUUUAAGUUUUUGAAAAUCCAAUCAAGUCUUCAUCAAUUCUUCUAUUUCAAAUUAUUGACAUCUGUUUCAUUAUAUCGUUGAAUUUCUAUCAGGAUCGGUAAGUAUCUCAUUCCCUGACAAUUAGGACCCUUCAAUUCUGGAAAAUAUCGAGUUUUGAUAAAUCUUUCAACCCAAUUAUAAAUUUUUAACGUUUUUGCCGAAAACCUCCACAAACGUUGAAAAUUUGUUUUUGAUUCUUGUAUUGUGCCAAUUGAAAGACCAUUGUAGGUGUUUGGAUCGAGCUUGAACGUGGGGUAGUCACUUGAGAUCUCAAGAAAGUAAGGUGGGUGACUUUUUAUGAAAUAUCGAGUCAAAUUUUGAAAUUGCCCAGGUACACACAGUCUACCACAUGGGCAUGUGGCUCGUCCGUGUUGGACACAUGAUCCUUCACAUGGUCAUGUCCCCUUGAUUUCCCUUGCAUUUACGUUUUGCACACGGUCUAGAGACUCGCACACGACCUGGUCACAUGGCCAUGUGGCUCCUGCACCUUUUUCCCUUCGCAUCGCACACAGCCGAAUGCACGACCAUGUGGAUCCAUCACACACGGUCUAGAGCCUCACACACGGCCUAGGCACAUAGCCGUGUGGCUCCUACAAUUCCACCCCUUCGUUUUGCGCAUGACCUGGGGCUUCAUACACAGGUUGGUCACAUGACCGUGUGGCCCCUAAAACUUAAAAAAUUACUGCUUUGCCUUAUCUUUAAUUAUUUUAUACAAUCCAGUCCCUGAUUAGGUUUUUAAUGGCAUCUAGAGAACUAAAUUAUGCAACUAGGUCCUAGACUAGGUUUACAAUGACUAAAUAUAUAAAUGAAUGAAUUUACUAUUUAAAUUGCUUUUGAUUGAGUGCUUGAUCCAUGAAUGACUUUAUAUUUAUCAAUGCUAUAAACGUCAAAUGAACGUCUCAUGUGCCUAAAUGAUUGAACUAUUAAUUGUUGGAUAUAAUUGUGAAUGUUGUUAUUAUGUAAUGAAAUAGAAUGUUGAAAGUAUUAAUGAUUGAGUGAAUGAAUGCAUUAAAGAAUGAUUGCAUUGCAUAUGCAUGGAGGGAUGAUAUGAGAGGAGGAAGAAGGGCAGCUCAUAUUGACUGCAUAAAUGAAUGAUUGACUGUGUACCCAUAGAACGGUAGAUUCCAACUGCAAUUUUACUGUGCUACAUGAUCCCUCUGACAGCUAUUAUCCGCGAGCGGUCGUGACUCUGUAAUUAAAUGAAUGUUUGCUAUGUAUUCACAGCCAUAGCAUAUUCCAACUCUGACAGUCUUACUGUGUACCUAUAGUUAUAGCAGAUCCUAACUAUGACGUUUUUGCACUGUGCUCUCACAGUCCCUCCAACAGAUUUCUAUUAGGAGUGGUUGUGUUUCUGUAGUUAUAAUAGCUUUUAUCUGCACCCAAUGAAUGUAGUGGUAAAAGCCCACGAGCGGAGUUAAAAGUUAGAAGAGGUUCUAGGGAACUCCCUCUUUGAAGAGCUAGUGGUCAAAGGUAGGAUUAACGAAUGUUAAAAGAUACGUCAAACUAAUGUUGCAUGACAUACCAUGCAUUCUCAUUGAAAGGCACAUGACAAAGCGAUUAAACUGAUAAAUGUGCAUAUACCUACUGUGAGUGAUAUUAUGACUCUAUAGUUGAAUUGUUCAAACAAAUUCGAUUAAGUGUUAAUGUCUGCUUGUCUAGAGUAAUAGAAACUAAAUUACCAUAUUGUUAAGGUUGUUAUCUGAAUUUAACUACAAUGAUGGACAUGUAUGUUCGAAUAUUGAACUGAUUUAUUAUAAAGGGUCUCCCACUGAGCCUCUCUAGCUCACUCCCCUACUUUCCAUCUUUUCAGAUAACCUAACGGGCUAAGACGCGGACUCGACAUACGGAGGGUCUCAGCUUGUCCUCACCAAUAAUUUAUUAUUUAUUAUUAUGAUUACCACAUUAUUUUAUUAAAAAUCGUGGUUUGAGAUUUAGUUUUAAUUUAAUUGUUAGAUGCAUCUCAUUUAGUAUAGGCUAUAAAAUUUAGAUUAUUAUUCGUUAAUAUGUGAUUAAACCAAAUUAUAUUAUUAUAUCAGCUUAUCUUAUAGUUCCACUGCCAUUCCUAAUAAGUUAAAACUAGAAUUUAUAAAUCACCUGUAUAAACUUGAGUUUUUAAAAGGAAAAUUGAAUUUGAUAAGGACCAAGCCACUUCGGUGGUUAAUGUAAGCUCUCAAAUUCAGAACUACCGUCUAGGUCGGGUUUGGGAGGUUACAUAAUCGCUAUGAAAUUAUAAUUAAUUGAAGGACCAAUUAGAAAUUGGACCCUUCCAAUAAUGUCAAACAGUAGUGGAUGUUGUUUGUCACCCACUUAAUUGAUUAAUUAAGUUUAUAAUUAACUAAUUAAGAUUUAUUCAAUUAAAUUAGAUUAAUUAAAACAAACAAAUUAUUUCUUCCUUCUCCACUCGUCUUCUCCACAUAAAAAAGGAAAAUUUGGGGUUUUGAGUUUGAACUUUGGUCCUUCAAAAUAGGUAAGUAUACAAGUUCGUUUCUUGUAAUUUUUAUAUUUUUAAGAUCAUGGUAGGUCGAUUUAGCUAAUCUAUGUUUUAUUUUUCGAAACUGUCAAAGUUUCAAAAUGUUGCCAUUGAUGAAUGCUUGAAUUUAUUAGUGUUAUUUGGUUAGAUUUUAAGCUUGGAUAUGAAAAUGACUAAUUUGUAAAGUUUAAUUAUUAAUUUUGAACAUAGAUACUAAAGUGUAAAUAUUUAAAAAUUGAGGAUAAAUUUCCAUAAUUAUGGAUAAUAAAGGGCUGUAGAAGGAGGUAAUUAAAAUCGGACUGUAAAUCGAAGCUCAAAUUUGAAAGAUAUAUCUAUUUCAAUUUUAGGGACUAAAUUGAAUAAAAUAAAAAACUUUAGGGAAAAUUAAAAAAUUAAAAUUAAAUUUAUUUAUGCUUACAAUAAGAUGAUAUAAAGUAUCUGAAAUUGAUAAAUUGAAAUGAAUUAUCAUAUAGAGUGGGAAUUGAAUCAAACAGGAGAUAAUCGAGAAAAAAGAAAAAUUACAUAUUAGCCCUCAACAUCUUAUUUGCUUGUUGUUUUUCUAGGUAAGUUUAUAUGAAACUUCCUAUGUUAAUUUUUUUUAUGUUUUUUUUUGUAUUAUUUUGCUUGUUGAUAGAAAUGAUGUGAAAUUUAAUGAUUUAUGGCAUCGAAAGGACUAAAUCGUAAAAUAAGAAAUAUAUGAUAAAUAUGAAUACAUGAUAUUGAACGAAUGUUGAAUUGUUAUAUGAUUGGAUAGUGUAUAUACGAUGAUGCUACAAUGUUUAAAAUGUAUAUGGAUUGUUAUUCGAAAUGUGAAAAGUGUGUAUACGAUUAUAGGGUUUGAUAUGAUACAAAAAAGGAUUAAAUUGUAAAAUAUGAAUUACACGACAACCAUGAAUGGAUACGAGGUAUCAAAUGGUAAAGAAAUGCUUAUAUGGAUGAUACGAUAUGUAAUAACUAUUAAAGAGAGAUUGAAUUGAUACAAAAAUGGUAAUAGGCCCAUGUGAACUCGGUAAAUGAUUAGGAUACGAAUGACAUGGAAAUAGGGUUCAAAAAGAAAUCGGGUGUGGGUCAGGGAUUCAUUUAUCGAUGUAUAAGAUCCAGCAUGUGUUGCGAAUUCUCGACAACUUGAGUGAGCAACAUCGAAUAAAUUUUGUAAAAGUAAACUUGACCUACAGCUUGUGUGAGCAAAUUCGAAUAUUGCAACUUAUGUGAGCAAAAUUAUCCCAUGUAUCUGACAUUAAUUUAGUAUAGCUCUUCGGUCGAAAACUGUGAUUAAAAUGGAAAUGAAAUGGUUGAAAGGUAUGAUCAUGAAUUGAUUUGUUGUGUUUAUAGUCUGAACAUGAUUCAAAUAGUAUAUAAUGCAUAAUGGAAUAGUUGUAUAUGAAUUAAGUUUUAGGGUUUUGUCGCAAAUGGACUAACCUAUUGAUUGUAUAAUUGAACUGUACAUGAUAAUGUAAGGACGCUAAGGAUGCCAUGUUAUGUAGCAUUAUAUUACAAUUACUUAAUUCGUUGUAAAGUCAAAGUAAGUUAAAUCAAUUUUCGUAUAAACUUGCUAAGCGUUCAAAAUCUUACUCCAUUAUUUUCCAUUUAUGUAGAUUUUUUAUUUGUGGAACUUGUCAGUCAAAUCAACUAGAAGAUUACACUAUCCCAUAAUCAUUUUAGUAGUCUUUUGGCCUGUUUUAACCUUGGUUUCAUGGCAUGUACAUAAGUGUCGUUUGUGUAACAUAUUGUGGAUGAACAGUUUAGUUCAAAUGUUGUUUAAUGCUUGUUGAGAGGAAUCUAAAAUUCAUAUACGCAUUAAAGUAUGUUUUGGGCAAUAUGAUAUAUUAUAUUUGUGAUUUGGUAUGAAUGGCUAGUUGAAAUUUCAAUGGUAUAUUUUAAAUGUGGUUAGGGCAAAGUUUCAACUUGGUUGAAUGAUUGAAAUUGUGACAGCCUGAUUUUGACCCUAAUCGGAACAGUGGUUUUGGGACCACAAAUCCGAGUCUGAAAAAUAUUUUAAUAUUAUUUUUUUGUUAAUUAUGUGUGAAUUUACAUAUGUGAAAGUUUCGUGAAUUUAUUUUAUUGUUUGUCUGCUAAAUUUGAAAAAAUGGCUUAAUCGCGUAAAAUAAAAAAUUUAAUGGUUAAAUAUGAAAGUGCCUAAUUGUUGUUGUCUUUAUAAUUUGGAGGUUCUAUGAUGCAAUUAGCCCACUAUAUAAGUUAGUGGAUGAAAAUGGUCAAGAAUGACCUUAUAUUAUAUGUUAUAUAUAUUAACUUAUAAAGGUUAAAUUAGUAAAUAAAAUAUUAUAAUGUAUUUAUAAUAAAACAAAACAUAAAUUAAAAGCAUUAUCAUGUUCAUCUUGCCUAAAGUUGCUAAAGAAAAAGAAAAGAAAAGAUCUUUGAAGCAUUCGGCCAUUACUAAGCUCAAUCAAGGUAUAUUUCGGUUUCGGUUUUUGAUGAUUUUUAUGUUUUUGAGAUCGUUGCUUCGAGUACUACAAAGCCCAUACUUGAAUUUUUGAAUUGGUUGUGUAUUUUGUGAUAUUCCAUUGAAGAGAGCUUGUUGUUUUUGUUGUUAGAUGAUGGAAAAUAAAUAUAUGUUGUUAGAUUUUCAUGUUUUAAUUAGUAAUUUUUGAUAAAAAUGUGUAUUAGAGACUAAAUUGUAAAAAGUGUAAAAUGUCAGGGGCAGAAUAGUAAUUUGCCCAUUUAUGUGUUUUUGGAUUAAAUUGAAUGGAAUUAUGUUUAAAUAAGUUUAAUUUGAAUAUGUUUAGAUCAUGAACCAAAGAAAAUGGAUUUGGAUCGGGGAAAAACAAAAAUAAUCGAAUAGCCGUCUAUUCUGUCCGUCGAUAUCCGAGGUAAGUUUAUAAGCAAAUAGAUGUUAUAAUUUUUAAUUAAAUGUGAAUUAUAUGUGCUAAAAUGAAUAUGUGAAUAAAUAUAUGUAUUAGCAGAAUGUGUACAAGCUUGGCAGCUAUGUUUAUGAAUUCGUUUCGACUGAGUUACGACGUCCGAAAGCCCCGUAUGAGCCUUAGGAAUAGUUAGGAUACAUAUGUCAUGACAUAGGAUUUCGAUAUGUAUUUUCGUGUAAGACCACGUCUGGGACGUUGGCAUCGAAUUGUGUAUACGUGUAAGACCAUGUCUGGGACAUUGGCAUCGUAUUUGAUUUGUGUAAGACCCUGUCUGGGACAGUGGCAUCGAUAUGUGAUUACAUGUAAGACCACGUCUGGGACAUUGGCAUUGUACGAGCCUUCCAACUAUCUGAGUAUCCUUUUUUAAUUCCGAAUGGUUCAACAGGUAAAGAUAAGUUGUGUACGAAUGUUUAAAUCAGGCUAAGUGACCAGGUAUGUGAUAAUUGAUUAUCUAUUUGAAAAUAAGGUAAGUUGUAUACUUAAAUUGAUGAUAUGAAGUUAUGUGAAAUAUGAAUUAUGUGGUUGCAUAAUUGAAUAUAUAUGUAUUCGGCCUUUGAUGUAUAUGUGUAUUGAGGAAAGUGAUGAUUAGUUAUACUAUCAAUUGAUUAUUUGGUAAAGAGGGAAGUUAUUACAAAUUAUAUAAGUUUUGAUAUAUAAGUUGUUAAAUUGAAUUAUAUGUGAAAUUAUAAUGGUUUAUUACUAAUUGUCUAGCUUAAUUUACGUAAAUGAUUAAAUGUUUAUUUGCUUAUGACUUACUAAGCUUUGAUAGCUUACUGUGUGUAAUCACUUUCUGUUUUAUAGAUUUGGAAGUUGGUUAUGAGCUCGGCGAUCGUCAGAGAAGUCUAUCACACUAUCGACUACUGUUUUCAGUAUUUUACUAAGUUUGAAAUUGAACUUAUGGUAUGUAUAGUCUAGUUAAUAUGUUUGAUUUCGGGUAUGUUAAUAUGAGCCAUGCGAAAAUGGCUUAUUUAUUUUGUUAAGCAUGGUUUUUAUGCUUUUGAACAAGUGUUAGAUAUGUUGAUUUUGGUAUCUCGUCUAUGGCAUAUUUAUUUAUGUGAAUUAUGUUUGAUAUGUUUUGUUAAGAAUGUGGUAAAUAAUUCGGCAUAGGUGAGCUUAGAUGAAGCAUAUAAGUGAAGUGAGUUUGGUAUAUAUAUGUUAUGGUGUUUUAGUCACGUGCUUCGGCAAUGAGGUAAAUGAUAUUCAAGCUUAAUUAAUCUUGGUUAUGUGUUAUAUAUAUAUAUAUAUAUGAUAUGUGUGAUAUGUUUUGUUUUGGUAUUGGUGUUUCGACUAUGGUUUAUUUAUAAGUAAAUAUAUGUGAAUCUUGUUUGAUAUGCUUUGUUAAGGUAUUGUUAUGUAAUUUAGUAAUUAAGAGAUUAUGGCAUAUAGGUGAAAUGCUAAGUAAAUCAUAGAUGAAAUGAUAGUUAAAUUUGGUUUGUAAGAGUAUAAUUACAUUAAUAAAUUGAUUUGAAAGAAACUAGUAAUGUGCAUGUGUAUGUACGGUUAUAAGGUAUGGAAGAACAUGUGUAUAUUUGGUCAUGAUCUAGACCUAUUUUGGAAGUGUGUUUUAUGCUAUAAAUUGGUGUAUGGAUAUAGGUUUGGAAAAUGUGAAGUGAUAUGUAUGAUUUUAUUAUUUGAAUCGAUAUGGUUUGAUUAGGAAAUGGCAUAUUUUGACUUAUGAUUUAAUGGCUAAAUCUUGUACAAUUUAUGAGGUUAUUUAUGGAUGCCAAUUUGUUAUGAAAUAAAUUAGGAACGUGGAGUAUUUAAUAAAGUUACGAUUUGCUCAUGCAAGUGGACUUAAUAUUCGAUUUUGUAUUUGUAAAAUGAUAUGAAUUGUAUGGAUUUUUGGAUAUGGCUAAAAUGGUGUAUUCAUAUGCGCAAACUUGUAAUAGAUAAAUAUGCAUGUUUUUGGUCUUUUAAAUGAUAUAUAUAAAUGAUUUUUAAAGUAGGCUUAGAAUUUAUGAAUAAGAUACAUACAAAUUCGGGUAAUAAUAGUUAAGUGAGUAAUACAAGUUUGAAUUUAACUUUUAUAAAUUUAUUGGAUUAGUCGAUUAAAGGAUAAGUUGAUUUGUAUUGAGUGUGUAUAGUUUAUGAUUGAAUGAUUUCAUUGAAAUGGGCAUAUGUGUAUAAUAUAAUGACAUUAAAGGUAUGUAAGGCUAAAAUAUAAUGUUACUAAUGUUGCAUUUGUGAUUAGACAUUAAGUUGUAUACAUAUUGGUUUCAUUAUGUACAUAUGCAGAAGUUAUGAAAUACAAAGUUUGAUAUUUAGAUGAUGAAAUUAUGUACGUACAUAUUCCCUGUAUAUGAAAAGUGAGGAUAUAUGCUUGAAUAUGAUUUAAUUAUGAAAAUGUCGUUAAUACGAUGAAUUUAGGGAAAUCGAAUAUUGCAAGUAUUAUAUACUUGAACAUGACUCUGAUAUAUACAAGUUUGGUUCGAAUUUGUUAAUUAUAGAAUAUGUUCGAUUGAGCUUUGAUGUAUGUUUAAAUUGAAUUAAUUUGAAUUUUGUAAUGUGUUUAUUUCUAAUACAUGCUUAGUAAGGUAUGAUUGAUUUGAAUUGUAAUUAUCAUAUAUAUAUUUGAAUUUAAAAUAAUUGAAUUAAGGAUAUUCAAGUUUGAUAAUGUUAUAAAUGUAUCGUUAUUCUUUGGUGUAUGAAAGGUGAUAAAUGACUGUGCUAAACUGUGUCUUGUUCGGUAAUGCCUCGGAACCCUAAUCUGGCAACGGAUACGGGUUAGGGGUGUUACAGAAAUCAUGUUAAGUAAUUUGUACAGUUUAUUAAGUUGUUUUGAGUUAAUUUGGUGUUAGUUCAAGAUGUUUUGAAUUGGGGAAAUUUAUAUUAUACAUAUAUGAGUAUGAAUUGACUUGACUUGAGAAAGUGAAUGUUGAAUAAUUUGAAAUGUUAUAAAUAGUUUUGAUAUGAAUUGGUGCCGAAUGUGGCAUAUUGUAUGUAUUGUGCAGGUGUAGGUUGUGUUAGGUGCCAUCUUUGAGUUGAUUUGGAAAAUGGUUUUAAAUGGUUGUCAAAAGGCUUAUUUAGUACCAAUAACAGAACCCACGUCGCAACGUCGUAUGGUGGACGUCUCGACGAGAAAUGGACUUUAGGCCAUGUCAAAACGAGGCCAAGUCAGUAUGUCAUGUCACGACGAGGAACUCCCUCACGUCGCAACAUCAAUAUGAACUUUUGAAAUAUUUGCAGUUUGGUCAUUGUUCAAUGUCGGGUCAACUUUAGAGCUUAUGUAAGCUCGUUUAAGAUUCGGGAAAGGUUUUUAAAUUGUACUGAAUGACUUAAAUGAUGGUAGUUGAUGAUUUUCGAUUUGAAUUAUCCGUUAAAUGUCUUUAAUUGUUUCGUUUUAUACUGUAUCAAAAUGUAACUUAGUCCCGGCGAUCGGGGCAGACAAGGGGUGUUACAAUUCUCUAGUCAAUGUACUUAUUUAUAAGGUAAAUAUGAGAUCUAAGAGUGUUCUCUAGCCACUGUGGGAUUAAAACUAACUUUUUAAUGAAAAUAGUGAAUAAAUUGAUAUUUAUUUAUAUGGUGUGAGCAUGUGAGUGUUCUCUAGCUAAUGUGGGAUUAAAAAUAAUUUUUAAUGAAAUAGUGAAGAAGUGAACUAUGAGAGUAUUCUCAAGUCAAUGUGAGAUUAAAAUUAACUUUUCAAUGAAAAUAGUGAAAGUUAGAUAUGAGAGUAUUAUCUAGUCGGUGUGUGACUAAAAUUAACUGUUUAAUAAAAAUAGUGAAGAAAUUGUUACUUAUUUAUAAGGUAAAUGUGAGAUAUGAGGGUGUUCUCUAGUCAAUGUUGGAUUAAAAUUAACUUUUAACUUUUAAAUAUCUUAAGCUAUAUCUAAAAAUAUGUAUAUUUUUAUCUUAUUAAUUUAUCUGAAAAAAUAAAAUAAAUGGUAGUCGAACUAUAAAACUAUUUCAUAUAAAUAUAUUAUUAUAUAAAUAAUUUCAAAUUAUAAACUUUUUCUCAUAAAAUUUUCAAAGAAAAAACUUUAAAGAGUUUAUGAAAAUAGCAAAGAAAUUUAUACUUAUUUAAGUGUGAGUUAUGGGUGUUCUCUAUUCGACGUAGGAUUAAAAAUUGAGUGUAUAAACAAUUGCCACAUGCCAACUUAAUGAGUAUGCCAUGGGUCAAAAAAUUAGGUUAUUCACAUUAAUAGGGAGCUAAAGACGUUAUAAUAUAUAUGUAAUUUAUGUUAUAUAAAAUUAAAUUUAUAAUAAUAUAUAAUAUUAUAGUGUAAAUAUUAAAUGAUACAUUAACUUGUUUAUAUUUAAAUUUUUAAUAAAAAGAAAAAAUAUUAAAUAUCAAAUUCAAAAUAACAUAUUUUUAAAAAAUAUUUUGAAAUAUUAGCAAUGUGGGCGACCUAAAUCGAGCUUAAUUAACUAUUUAAAAAUAAGGAUAGGCUUUGAUAAAUUUUAAAGUCAUAUUUUUCAUUGAAUCAAUAUUGAGCAAGCAAGAAAUGUAUUAAUAUUACAUGUAUGUCUAACUCAAAGUUAACCCAUGAACACCUCUAUUUAUAAAUAACAUAAUUUUAAAAUAAAAUUAACUUAAAUCGAGGUAAAUAUUAUUAUAUCCCUAAUAAAUUCAACCAACUUAAUGAAGACUCAAAGUUUCACGAAAAUCCUUUCAUAGUGUGGAGCUUACACUGAAAAUUUCAUGACCGCACAACGACAGUCCCGUUUUAGGACGUGGUAUGCCAAAGUUUGACCCGUUGGAUUAAGCUCAUACUGUUUGUGGAAGCUAAAUCUGGACGGUUGGCGAAGAGCUGGCGCCAAUCAGCUAGGUUUCAAUGCUGUGGUUUGGGAUAGUAAUGAACACGUAUGAUAUGGAAGCUUAUAUGCAAUCCUCCUUGGCAUGUAGCGGGGCCUUGAUUUGCAGGUGAAUUAUGUCAAGAUUGAAAGUGAUUUUUUGGUUUUUAUUAACUUCUUUACAGCUAGUGACCAUAUAUGUCUAGCUUGGGGACUUUUGAUUGAUUUUAUUAAGUCUCUUCUUCAUAGUUUUUACAAUAUGUUUGGAUUGUAUUAAACCUAGAGAAAGGAAAUGGAAGGAAAGUAACACCCUUUUCCUUAUUUGGAUAGUUUCUUCUCCCCCUUGGGUUACUUAAGUUUUAAUUACUCCAUUUGGGAGAAAAGUUUAAGAAAAAAAGUGAAGUUACUUUUAAUUUAUCCUCUUAAUCUUUUACAUGAAUUAUUUAAAAAAUAAUAAUUAUAAUCAAUCAUUCUCUUAAUUUUCUAAUGUAUAAUUAAACAAAAAUUAUAGUUUUUUUAUUUUACUUUAUUAAUUUUAUCUAUCAAAAUAAAAUAAACACACAUAAUAUAUUAUUUUAUUUAAUUUUCCCCCUUUCUUUUAUAGAUUUUUAUCCAAAUAUAAAGUUAGUGUUGCAAGGUUGAAUCAUGUUUUGCGAUUUGGGAACCAACCCGCUCAUCAUUUGGUAAAGUUUGUCUUGCCGGGGUCGUGAUGGUAGUGUCUCGUAGAGAAGUCAACCUCUUCCUUGUAGUCCAUGGAUUUGUAUUGACAUUGAUUCUAUUAAUAAUGAAUUUUUUCGGUGCACUCUUUUUUCACUUUAAAAUGGUUUUUAACAAGACAUCGUUUUUUAUAAAAAAAAUUAAUUUAAAAUUUUUAAAAUAUUAAGAUUUUUAAUAUUAUUAAAUAUACAUAUUUGUAUUUAAUAAUAUAUAAUAAAUUAUUAAUAUAAUUAUUAUUUUAUUAUUUUAUUAAAACUAUUUAAAAUUACAAUUUUAUUUUAAUAAUAAAUUAUAACAUUGAUAAUAAUUUUAAAAUUUAAAUAGUAUUCUUAAUAUUUUAUCAAGAAUAUUUUAAUAAUAAAAUAUAGAUUAUAAUUUACAGUUAUUUAGUAAUAAAUUUUUAUAAUAUAAAAUAUAAAUAUUUUAGUAGUAUAAAUACGGAUAUUUAUCUAAAUCCUAUUUAACUUUAUUUAUUCCUUCCGGGUCCAAUGUUAUGUGCUGCGAUCCGCUUUUAUAUAUGAUCUAAAAUUUAAAUUUUAAUUAGGCAUUAAUUAUAUAAAAAUAAAUUUUAGUAAAAAUUAUUAUAUUUAAAAAAAAAGGGGGUUUUGGAAAGCUGCAGUGAAACAAACAUAGUGUAAGAGAAGUGGUAAUUCACUCAAGCAGACAAGUGGAACAACAGAGCAUGUUUGUGUAAGAUAUUCUUUGUAACUGUUUAGUUUUGAAAGGGCAAUAUCUACAUCCGGUAGAAGACAUGAGUUCUAGGAUUAGAAAGAGUGUGAAAGAUGGGAAUUAUGGCAAACAAUGGAUGCCUUUUUCUUUUUUCUUUUUUCUUUUUCCAACGUAUGAAAAAUAUCCAAUUCUUUGAGAUAUUCCUUUUGAUAAUUUAUUGCGAGUUUUUACCAUUAAACGACAGCUCUUCACGUCGUACCACAUUUCGACCUUAAUUUCCACGGUCGUGGCGUAUUACGCACCCGUCUACCUUAAUCAGUUCUCACCUCGCUUAGCGCAACCAAAGCGAAAAAAAGGUAAAACGAAAAACAAAAAACUGCAGCAAGGAUUUUCCUCUGGUUCUCUUCUCUCUUUCGACUUUCACUGAUCAUCCAUGGCUCAUACCUCUGCUUCCGAUUCCCGCCGCCUCCUCACCGUCAACCCUCCCCAUCCGAUCUCCAAAGGUAGUUUACCUCGCCGAUUUCCUUUCCCCUUCUACCAUUAAGGGAUUAACAUCUUCUUACAUUCGUCUUCUCUAAAACCCUACCUCUUACCAUUUCUUCUUUUGCUUAUUUCUUUCUGAUAUUUAAAUGCAUUGUAGAUUCAGUGGUUUUACGAGAUUGCUCUGUGCGUGUUUUUUUUUCUUAAUAUUUUUUAGUUUGUUGCUUCGAAGCUAGGGUUUUUGUUUUAUCAUCUGUAAGGUUUUUCUUUUCUCUCCUUUUUUUCUCUGGUGCCAUUUUUUUUGCGGUUAAGCACGGCACACUUUAGUUUCCGACUUACCGUUCUUGAUAUAUAUAUAUUUCAAUUUGAAAAGUACGAUGUGAUAAGGGCGUAGUGAAGUAGUUCAAUUUAUUUUUUCUUUUUCAGAUUAGUUCAACUCAAAACUAGUAUUAGACUUUCUUUUAUUGCGCAUUAUUUUUCAGUCUUGAUUCAAAUGCUUUGAUUUAUGUGAUUAAUUAUAUAAAAAAAAAUUGCAUAGUUGUUUAUUCCAUUUAUAAAUGGCACCUUAGCUUUGUACUGACAAUUGAUUGUGCAAUUUGUCUUGUUAGCUGCUUCAUUAAUGCAUUUUAUUGAGAAAUUCCUUUGGCUUCUUAUUAGUUUGAAAUGCUGCCUGUGAAAGUUGAUUGAGGCUUCCUAAAUUAUUUCAUUCUAGUCUUAACGCUUUUUAUUUUUCAUUGUUUCGUGCUUCUGUUUUUCAUAUUCAAUGAUGAAUCAACAUGGCAGUUUCAAGAGGCAAGUUCAGUAAUUUACCAGAAAAUGUGUGUAUUCAAUAAAAUUCUGGGCUUGAGGCAUUUCUAAUGACUUGUUGCGUACUGUCUUUGAAUGGGACUAAGCAUUUUGAUUUCAAAUACUUGCUUUGAAUAGCUGCCAUGUUUCUAAUUGAUGCUUCUGAUUAUUUUGUGUAGAUGUUCAAGGAUCUGACAAUCCUAUUCCGCUUUCACCACAAUGGCUUCUUUCAAAGCCAGGGGAGAAUAAGCCCGAAAUAGGAACUAUGGUAUGUUAUUAUUGUUGUUGUGUACUGAUUUGUGGUGUCCUUGUUCAUUUAUAGACGGGUUUAAUGUUGUGUGAAGGCUUUCUCCAUCCUUCUAUCAACAUACAGUUCUCAUCUCAAUAAUUAGUUAAUAUUCUGUUUAAUAUUCUUACUGUCUCAGACUCCCCCCUUAAUUUUAAAUCAUCCAUGCAGGAAAAUCAUUCUGUGCCAUAUCCUUCUCAUGGAGGUCACUCUGAAGUCAUGAAGCCGUCUGGAAAUGGCGAGGGGAUUCAUGAUACCCCAAAGAAGGAUGUCUUUAGGCCAUCCUUACUUGAUAUGGAAACUGGCCGCCGAGACCGCUGGCGUGAUGAAGAACGAGAUACCCAUUCAUCUCUGCGCAAAGAUCACUGGAGGGAUGGAGAUAAAGAGCUCAGUGACACCCGCAGGGUUGAUCGAUUGGUAGAUAACUUGCCUUCAAGACAAUUUGGAGAAGCACGCCGUGCACCGACUGAGCGGUGGACUGAUUCAGGUAACAGGGACUCAAAUUAUGAUCAAAAGCGUGAGAGCAAAUGGAACACACGCUGGGGGCCUGAUGAUAAAAACAAUGAAAGGUCACGAGAUAAGUGGGCAGACUCUGGUAGAGAUGGUGAUAUGCCUCUUGACAAAGGGUUGCCUCAUCUUUCCAGUCAUGGGAAGGAUGUGAGAGAGGGGGAUCACUAUCGCCCCUGGAGAUCCACCUCUUCUCAGAGUCGAGGAAGGGGAGAGCCUCCCCAUCACCAAGCACUAACUCCAAGCAAGCAGGUUCCCACGUUUUCCUAUGGCCGGGGACGUGGAGAAAGUCACCCUUCAACAUUUUCUGCUGGCCGUGGAAGGGGAAGUUCUGGUGGAAAUUCAGGGGCUAGUAUACCUUCUCAUCAUCAAACUCUGGGAACCAUAUCUGACAAGGGUGUAAUUGACCAUGGAGAGCCAUCCCCUUUACAGUAUAGUAGGAAAAAAAUGCUGGACUUAUAUAUGAGAACCGACUUGAGAAUUUACCAAAAACUCAUAGAAGAGCUUCUAUCAGUGCCUUCACUUACACAAAAUGAACCAUUGGAACCUCUAGCUCUUUGUGCUCCUAAUUCUGAUGAAAUGGUAAUUAUUUUAUUUUUAAUGUAUUAGGAUGGUAAACCUUGAUUUAGAGUCCUCAGUUGAUUUCAUUGCUUCUUUGAUAGCUUGUUCUAAAGGGAAUAGACAGAGGGGACAUAACAAGUAGUGGUUCUCCUCAGAUGCCUAAAGAUGGGCCUGCCAGCCGGAACUCUACAGAGUAUACUCAUCCAAGAAGAAACAAGAUUGGUAUUCAGCAAGUGCACCUUAUAUUCUACUGUCAAUUUGUGUAUAUUUUGAAAUUUGAAGUAGUGUCUAAUAUCUGCUGGAACAUGUUUAUGCAGGCAGUAGAGAAGAUAUACCAGCUGCUGUUGGUGAUUGUAAAGAAGAAAGUUCUGACAUUCCAAACAGCAAUUAUUCACAGCUUGAAAAGCAUAAGGGAUACCCAGAUACUAAGUUCAAAUAUGAAGGUAUAAUUACAUAAACCAAUUAAUCCUGUAUUUGGUAACACCUCUGGCAACCAUCUUGCAAUUACUUAAUUGGAUGUGAGAAGUAUUCUGAAUUGAAGCUUUUGAACCAUAUGGGAAAUUAUAUCGUGGCUACUUUUAAAAAAUUAAUUCGACAUGGUUUGGAAUAAAAAGAAGACUCAGGUAGCCAACUGGAAUCAAUUUGUCUGUGGUGUUUAAGGGCUAGUUGAGUUUUGAUGAGGAAUGCAAUAAUCACAUUGUGGAUUACAAUUUUGUGUUCAAUGGAUUGGUUAUUUAUUUUCCGUGAUUGGGACUUUGUUCGUACUAAAGUUCAGCAUUUCUGUUGUUUGAAAUCCAAUGCACUAAAUUGUAUUCUGUAGAUUUGAUAUAUUACUCUCCUUUCUCAACUUGCACUUAUUUGAUUAUGAGAAUUGAUCUUCUAUUCAUUUAUGUUCUUGCAGACAAUAGUGUUCUUUUCGAAAGGGAUGAAGAGGUGCCCAUAAGUAAGGAAUCGAGCAUACACGUGCCCAACUCUGUUAAUCCUGGCACCAUGUGGCGAACCUCUUCAUUUGGGGAACGAUCACCUACAGUCACACAUGACUGGAAGGAGAUUCCAAAUGAUGCCAGGUCAAGAAUCCCUGACAUGAGCUGGUCACAACCACAGAAAGAUAUGAUUAACCAACGAGAAAGUAAUGUGAUGAAUUCAUCCUAUGCUAGAGAUGAAGCAAAUUGGCAAUCUAGUGAGGAUCCUAUCCUUAUGAGGCAGCCAUCUGGAAUUUUGGUGAGGGAACCUGAACCUAGGAAGCUGCCUGCUCCGGAGGACCUUAUUCUUCACUAUAAAGAUCCUCAAGGUGAAAUUCAAGGCCCCUUUUCAGGGAUUGAUAUUAUAAGCUGGUCUGAGGCAGGGUAUUUUGGGUUAGAUUUGGAAGUUCGGCUAGCUAGUGCACCCAAGGACUCGCCAUUUUCCUUACUUGGUGAUGUAAUGCCCCACUUGCGAGCUAAAGCACGUCCACCACCUGGAUUUGGUGUGCCAAAACAGGGUGAACUCUCUGAUUUGUCAAGCAGACCAAAUUACAGUAGCCCUGGAAAAGUUAAUGCUGGUGCAAGUGAGAUCAAUAUGAUCAGAAAUGAGCCAAGGCAAGCAACAGAAGCUGAAAAUAGAUUUUUGGAGUCACUCAUGUCUGGUGGCAUGAGCAAUCCAUCCCAAGGUUGGGUCUUUACAUAGAGACACUGCUGCAUAUUUAUUUAUUUAUAAUAUAUAAUUUUUGUUUUCUGAACUCUGAAGGUAUAGUUCUAGGGUUCUAAUCCAAAAGAAUCUCCUCCACAGUUUAAUCAGAUUUUCUUUUAUUAUUUUCUAACAGCCUGCCUGAUUUCUUGGAUGGUUUUGCUUUCAGGCCUGCAAGGAUAUGUUCCAAACAAUCCUAGUAGCAUUCCGCCAUCUGGAAUAGAAAAUGGGAGUGACCUCUAUCUGUUGGGCCGGAGAAUGACACUGGAACGGCAAAUGUCUUUACCAAAACCCUACCCUUAUUGGCAGGGGAGAGAUGGUGCAUCUUUGGUUCCAAAGCCGGAUAUCAUCUCUGAGUCACCCAUGCCCCAUGCAAAAUUCCUCCCUUCAUUGACUGACAACACUCCUCAGCUGCCUCCACAAGCUGCUGAUUUAAUGUCCAUCCUCCAAGGAUUACCUGACAGGUCUGCUCCUGGAGUAAAUAACAGUGUCAGUAGUUGGGCAAAUUUUCCUGCACAAGGUGCAUUAGAUACUCAUCAAGAGAAGAUUGAGCUACAUCAUGCUCAAAAUUUUCCUAACCAAGCGUCGUUUGGGAUCCAGCAACAAAGGCUGCAAGCACCGACCCCACCUUCCUUGACAAGUUUGCUUGGUCAAACUAUGGAUAAGCCAUCUGGCAUUUUACAACCUGAGAAGUUUAUCUCCACUUCAUCUCAAGACCCCCAACUGCUAAAUAUGUUGCAGCAGCAGUAUUUAAUGCAGCAGCUACAACCCCAGACACCAGUACCAACUCCACAGAUGCUGCUGCUUGAAAAGAUGAUGUUGCUUAAGCAGCAACAGAAACUGGAGGAACAGCAGCAGUUGUUGCGGCAACAACAAUUGCUUUCACAGGUUUUGCAAGAACAAUCGCAGCAGCAUUUAGGUGAACCCUCUUUUGGACACUUACAGACUACCACAAUGCAGACAGGUAAUUCAUCUGUGGAUCCUGCUCGACCUCAGUCAUCACCACAGGAUAUUCUUCAGAUUGGUUCGCAGAUCCCAGGCAACCAAGAUGAGCAUGCCUAUAAUAUGAACCUGUCUCAGCAAGUUUCCAGGGAUACCAGUUAUGCUGUUAGUUCUGGGUCCCCACCUGUGCUUCUACCACAUGAGAUGCUCAGUAGUAUCAAUUGUCAGAAGAGCUGGGGGACUAAUGCACCAGAACUGG